This 58155-nucleotide long non-coding RNA is filed under the name Populus tremula. Its description in RNAcentral is "long non-coding RNA (PTRE_LNC003017)". The stretch from base 34283 to 34438 matches the Rfam family "MIR2912 microRNA precursor family". Lineage: Eukaryota; Viridiplantae; Streptophyta; Magnoliopsida; Malpighiales; Salicaceae. The record is from RNAcentral.
AGAGCGUACCUGGAGCUGCUGCCUGAAGACGAGGAUGAUGGUGAGGCCGUGAGGGGGAGUUGGUUAACCAAUGUUCCCCUCUGCUUCUGUUUUUCCUUCCCUUCUUCUCUGAUUUCUGGUCUCUUUUUUUUGCUUGAUUUUAUUCUUCCUCUGUUUGUGUUCUCUGAUCUUUGAUUCUUUCUCUGUUUCCUUCGUUAUGUCCUCUCUGCGUUUACUCCCCUGUUCUCCUUCGCGUCCGUCUGUUGAAGAGGGGUGGUGCAACCGGAGACUAGGCUGGCGCUCGUGCGCUGGCUGGCCAAUGCUUCUCUCUGUUUCUGUCUCGUUUGCUUCUCCAGUCUUCCCCUGGUUUUUUUUGUGUUCUCCCCUGGUUCCUCCUCUGGUUUUUUUCACUGGUUUGUGUUUUUGGCCCCCCUCUCUCGGUCUCUUUCUAUUUAGUUCCUCCUAGUCUCUAUCUUUUCUGUCUCCCCUGCGUCCUGUGUGGUCUCCUGGAAUGCUUUGUUGCUGUGAAAGAUGGAGCUCUGGAGCUGCUGCAAGAAUACAACGGUCUGGACUCACCUUUAAAAAGUCCAAGUGGUUAGAACUUAUUGGUUCUUCAAAAUUUGUUGUUUUUACUACAACAACAUUACACAUACUGUAAAUAUCACUUAAAGAUAUUGUCCCCCUUACUAGUUUGUCAUCAACAUCACCAUCCUUUGCAUCAUCCAUUCCAUUUUGUUGCUUCUAUUUUAGCUCUUCAAUAAAGCAUUUUCCCAGUUCUAUAUAGUACCUUCUACAACUUUUAUAUCUCUAGCAAUCACCACCUUGUUAAAUUUCAAAUCAUAGAUUCUAUAGGCCUUAAAUUGACUGUUAUAACCUAUAAGAAUUCCUACAUUUGCCUUGUGAUCAAGUUUACGCCUUUUAAUUUUAGGUUUCAAAACAUAACAAGGGGCUGCCAAAAACUUUUAAAUGAUGAGUAUUGGGUUUAAAACCAUACCAUUUCUCAUAGAAAGUCUUAUCUUUCAAAGCUCUUGUGGCCAUUCAAUUGAGAAGGUAAAAUGCUAUGUUUGCUGCCUAACCUAGAAUUUUAAUGAUAUUGUCUUCUCGUAUAGCAAACAUUCCAUCACUGUUCUGUUUCUCCUCUUAUUGACCCUAUUUUAUUGUGGAGUAUAGGUCAUUGUUAGCUAAUGUGUGAGCUCUUCUUUCACCAAUUUUCCCUCAAACUAUCUAGAGGAGAGCGUGUUUGGGAGUGUGGUAGUAAUUGCUUUUCAAAGUAUUUUUCAUUCCAAAACACAUUAAAAUAAUGUUUUUUAUUUUUUAAAAAUUAUUUUUAAUAUCAGCAUAUCAAAAUGAUCUGAAAACACCAAAAAUAUAUUAAUUUGAAAAAAAAAAUUUAAAUUUUUUCAAAAACGCUUCCGAAACGUAAUGCCAAACAAUGUCCCAGCCCCAUUGUCAGACCUUAACAUUUUUAGUUUGUUUCUUAUUUCUACCUCAACUAUUAUCUUAAACUUCACAAACUCAGCAAAUACAUCAACCUUGAAUUUUAAAAAAUAAACCUUAUAAUACUUGCUCUAAUUAUCAAUAAAUAGUAAAAAAUAAUUUUAACCAUUCAAAGAUUCAUUUUGCAAAGGACCACACACAUGUAUGUGCAUUAACGGGAGUGUUAGUGAAGCUCUAAAGCUUUUAUCAGGAAAAACACUUCUAAUCUACUUUUCUAAGUGACAGGUCUCACAAAUGUCAUUUAUUCUUGUAUUUUUAGCAUACCAAAGGCCAUCUGCAAAUCAACUAUCUUUUUCAAGGUUCCAUAAUUAAAAUACCAUAACCUUUUGUGCUAUAGAACAUUAUCAUUUUCAACAAUAGUGUUAGCACGCAAAAAAACUUAUUUCUAAUCAACAUUAAAACUCUUAUCCAUAAUUUUAAUAGUGAGCAAUAAUAACCCUUUUAUUGUCUUUAAUGUCACACACUCCAUCAUUAAAAAAAACAAUGAGUAACCAGGUUCAAUUAGUUGUCCUAUACUGAUAAAGUUUCUACUUUAACAGUUCCUUUUCCCUAAGCCUUCAAAUAGUUUUCAUUAUCAAUUUUGACUCUAGACAUUAUUUUAAUACUGGUGUCUGUGCUGAAAAGCUUGAAGAUUCCAUUUUCAAACCCCACUAAUCUCGUGUUUCAAUCAUAACUCUUCAAAGAUCAAGGUGGGCUCUUCAAAUGGUAUUUAGAGAAAUUAGCUUAAUCAAAGAACAAAGGGCAUAACAAGAACUUCUAGGUUACUGUCAUCCCUUAAAUUUAUUUAUAGACAAAAUCAAAGAUUACAAGAUCUUUAUCAUAAAGAAAAGGAAUCAUAACAGCCAUAAUUCCCUUCAUCUAAGGGAUUACAUAACUACAUAGGCUUAUUCUAAGCUAAACAAAUAUCUAGCUAAACUCAAGUCUAAAAAACAGAACAUAAAGAAAAUACCAUAACAUAUAUAUAAAUAUGGCUAAAAACUAGCUGAUAACAACCUGUGCCUCCAUUUCAACAAUUUUCUCCCUUGCUGUUGGCUCCGAUCCUAACCCUAUGUAUAUGAAUUUGGAAAAUAAUCAUGUCCAUUUAAACUCUGAUUCAGAUGAAGCUUCACCACAUUCUGCUUCAGACAUCUACUGGUGGAUUGUCACAGACACAUCAAGUUAAUGAAGAGCAAUGCUCCUAUUCGAUUGAUUUGGAAUUGAAAGUGCAUGAAGAAGACAUCGGGAAAGAUUUGUUGCACAGAGAAUCUGAUGAUGGCCUUCUUAACUACUUGGAUGAGGAAAAAUAUGAUUUGGUUUGUGAGGGUGGUAUUAUUUACACUUGGCUAAGGAUGAUCCCAAAGUCUUCGAUGUGGUUAAGACUGUUGAAGAUGGUAGCUGGACAAUAUUGAAGAUGGUAGCUGGACACUGAAUCACAAAUCAAAUUGGUCUGCUUCAUACAAAAAAAUAAUACAGAUUCAUAGUUGUACACUGAGUGCUAAAUUAUUUUAGGUUUAAAAAAGCCUUCAAUAUGACAACAAAUCUAAAAAAAAUUCAACUCAACCCAUCAUUAUUUUCACUCUUAAUUUCUUUUCAAAAACACACUAGUGUUUGAUGAGCUCCUAUCAUCAUCAGUUCCUUCCUCUUCAUGCAGCAUUCGUAGACCAACCCUCUUUAUUUGAACAACCGGAUCAUCUGUAAACACUGAAACACUGAAUUUAUCACCGUUAUCAAACGCAGGAUCAUUGGACCCAAAUUUCCAAUAGCUUAGCCAUAACAAUUCAGAUUUUUUGGCCGAAAACUCUAUCGGAAAAAUCGAGGGGUAAAAAACCCAGAAUCUACCCUUGGUAUUGUUCCUGAUUUCAAGAUAAACAUAGAGGCAGCAUAAUCCAACUCAUCCACUCUCGUUGUGCGCCUGCUCUGGCCGUAUCUCUAUCCUCUCGCAUCCAAAACUAGCAUCAACACCACCCACCAAUAAGAAAAAGGCACGUGGAGGAUCAUGACUCUGAAUCAGCUACUGGGUCGGCUACCGAGUGGUGUUUCGUUUUGAGCCAUUGAGUAUUGCUGUGGAGUGGAGGGACAUUGAAGCUGCACAAUGUUUGGUGUCUUACAAGUGCUGAUGGCAAGAGGUUUAUUGAGUGGGGGUUCUAUAAGAAUGGAGGUUCCAUGGUGUGAUAGUAAUACGAUUCUGUUGUCAAAAGAGUAUGUGAGGUUUCCCGUUGAGUUGGCUCAUCGGAAAAUUGGAAGAGAACUCGAGCGUUUUUUAGUUGUUUAAGAGAAAACAGCAAAGGGGUUUGUGGAGUUCACCGUCUUGGAAAAUGGUGAGCAGCAACAAGGUGACAAGUAAGAUAAGAUAUUUAAUAUAUUUUAUUAUAAAUACAAGAUUUUAUAAAUAAAAAUCAAUUAAUAAAAUAAUAACAUAUUACAACGGGAAAAAAAGUGAAAGCCAUUACAAAUAUUUAUAAAUAAAAGAUCUCAUGCUAUACAAAGAAAGAAGGAAGAUUACAAGAGAUUCAAAACUAUUUUCCUGAUAAGCUUUCCAAAAAAAAAGAAAAAACAAUUUCAAAAGCUUUUCACUUUUGUUGUUGAAUUUUAAUUCUAUCUUUUAAUUUGAUAAUUUUCAAUCAAAAUUAAUUUAAAUUUUUUUAAUUUUGAUGAUUAUUAUAUUUUAUUUUUAUAAAAAAAUAUCUAUAUUAAUUUAUUGUAAAAAUUUAAUAUAAUCAAAUUAAUUUUUAAAUAAAAUAAAAUAUAUUCAAAUUAUAGAAUCCUCUUAAUUAUAUUUUCAAGACAUAUCCACUUUUUUUAUUAUUACAAGUAGACUUGUCUGGAAAGGAUAUAUGUAGAAGCAAAAAAGAAUUACCAAUUAAAUUUUACCAUGUAUUAUUUUUUAUUUUAUUUUUAUAUAAAAAGAUGAAAUAAAACAGAUAAAAUAACAUAAAAAAUGAAUCAUUACAUAUAUUUUGGUAUUGACACAUAAAAUAAUAUAUUUCAUAUAUCUUAUUAUAAAUCCAAGAUUUUAUAAAUAAAAAUCAAUUAAUAAAAUAAUAUCAUAUUACAGGGAAAAAAGAAAGAAAGUGAAAGUCCUGACAAAUAUUUAUAAAUAAAAGAUCUCAUGCUUUCCAUUAUAAAGAAAGGAGGAAGAUACAAAACUAUUUUCAUGAUAAGCUUUUCAAGAAAAAAGAAAAAACAUUUCAAAAGCUUUCCAGCUUUUUUAAUGUUACGGUUGAAAUCUAAAAAAAGCAAAACCUCUACUUUGGUUAUAGACGUCUCUUUUCAAAAUACCACCCACCCCUAUUGUCAUCAUUGGGGUUAUAAUGGAAACCACAAUAAUAAUUUCUAAAAAUACUAGAAGCUAUUUCUACUUUGGCCGCGUGUGCAUCAUCGCUACUGUUGUGGGCAUUGAUAACUUCAUCCUUUGAUUGGAUAUCAUCAUCAUCCUUUCCUUCCUCUUCAUGCAACCAUUGUACACCAAUCGUCUUUACUUGAAUAAAUGGAUCAUGUGGAAGCACUGAAAUACUCACGUCAUCACCAUUAUCAAAGGUAGGAUGGAUUUCACGAGCACCACGCGCGUAAGCAAAAGGGUAGACAGAGGCUAGAUGACGCAAGGAUCGACCACUGGUAUUGUUUCUGAUUUCAAUAACAACUAGACUAGAGUAUCUGUAUGCUGACGCCACACAACUUGUGAAUAGAUUAAAGCCACAUAUCCGGUGUGCAGGAAGAGCUGGGGAUAUUUUGAAUGAAAAGUUAUCUCCAAACUCAUUCUGAAUUAGCCAUUUAUCCUCUUCUUCCUCCUCAUAAAACCUAAACUCCUCAUCAAAUGCAUAUACGUAGAGUUUUCCAUGAUCAAAUAUUAUCUGCACCACCAAAACAAUGUCUAUAAAAUGAGCAAAAGAAAAGUAUUCAAAUGUAGAUUUCAAAGACAAUAAAAUGGGCGAGGGAGGACCUGAAAUCUGGAUGGCUGUAUUUGAGCUCUAACCGUUUCCAUUAUUCUGAACACGUGAGAGUCAAACUUUUGGAUUAAUUCUUGCUUUAUCCGAUCUUGGAACUCGACAAAGUGAUCACAACCAAAUGCUAAAAUCGAACCGUGUCGAUUUGAAAGGCUUUGCAGUGAAUAGCAAUAGCACACAUCUAACAAAGCCAAAUGGGAUGGAAGCUCUGGGAGUGCCUGAAGCAUUUUGCAAUUUUUUAAGAAUAGGUAUCUGAGUAGACCAAGACCCUUGAUGCUUUCUGGAAGAGAACGAAUUGUUGUUCCAUUUAAAUUAAGUUUAUCCAAGAAGCGUGGCAGUGAAAACGAGGUAAAUCUCAACAUUUUCCUCGCUGAAAACCUAGAGGGAAAUAAUAGCUUCAAUGGAAGAGAUGUAAUGUAUGAUGCACUUGCAACAAUUCCAUCACUUUGAAGCAAGCUGCGCCCCUGAUGAUGCUCUAACUCCAUAUUCAGGAUGUCAAGAUUUGAGCAACCACCUAAAACCAGCUCUUGAAGUGAAUUCAAUCUACUCAUUUCUUCUGGAAGCUCCAUAAGACUUGUACAAUUUCUUAGAUUUAAGAUCAACAGUUUUUGUAAAUCACCAAUAGAAUCGUGAAUUUGAAUCAAACUGAUGCAGUCUUCAAGUAUUAGCUUUUCAAGGGCUAGGAGACCCGAGAAGUCAGGGGUUCUAAUGAGAUCACGAGAGUGACGGAGAUCAAGAACUUUCAAUUUUGGAAGAAACUGUGAAAUACAUGAAUUUAGUUGUUAUCAAUUGAAAACGGAGAGAUAGCUAUAGAAAGUGACUCAUGAUACAUACCAGUUUGCCUUUCCAAGCAUCAACUAGACAACUUCUGGAUAGAUCAAGAACCACCAGCUUCUCCAAGCAUACGUGAUUUGGUAUGGAUCUCCAAGACAAUCCAUGCCAACAUAACCAUAUCAAAUUCUUGGGAAAGUGCUCAAAACUUCCAUGAAAAUUAGUGUAGUUUAGUUGGAGAAAUUUUACAUCUGGCAUCUUUCUAAAAGCAUCGUGCUGAGGAUGGAAACAAACUUUUUUGUAAUUUUCCCCAUCGGAAAAAUCAGAAAGCCAUUGUUGAAAGAAGUUAAGCCUGCGGCGCUUGCGCAACCAUUGAAUCAGUACAGCAACUUCUGCAUAAUUAUCUUCCAUUAAUGCAUGCAUAUCAAUGGUAAGGCCACGCAAUUUUUCAGCAUCCUGCAUAAUAAUAUUAAAAGUACAUGAGAAAGGAAAGUAAAUGAAAGAAUAUGUUAAGGCACCACAAACCAUUUAAGUAGACAUAAAAAAAUUGAGCUACUUACAGUAGUUCCUUUCAAAACUGUAAAAGCAUCCUCGUGACGCCAUAUUCUUUGACAUUUGGGAUUCUUGACGAGCAAUUUCCCUUCCCAUAUCUCUUACUAGUUGAUGCAUCCACAACCUUUGAUCAAUUGUUGAUUUCAACAAGACAUCUAUCGAUGAGAUUGUCAAUCCCAAAUCUUGCACCUUUAUCGAGCCCAUCCAGUAUCCUAACUGCAUCAUCCACAUCCAUUCCAUUAAAGAAACAUGCGAUAUCAAGGAAUAAGUUCUUCAGACAAUCACCAUCAAGAAAGUCGUAACUUAUUCGAAGAACCUUUUGAACUUCAAAAUUAGGAAUCACUUCCAUUUGUUGUAAUGCACUUUCCCAUAUUUCUCUUCCUUUUCCGGACAAUGAAGAGCCAAUAACUCGAAGAGCUAAUGGAAGUCCACUACAAUGAUGUACUAUUCUCCAAGAGUCUUCUACAAAACCAUCAGCAGGGUCAGCUUGUCCAAAGGCAUUCCAACUGAAAAGCUCAAGUGAUUUUUCAUCAUCUAGCGGUUCAAACUUUGCACCGGACCCCCUCAAUAUCAUUAGCUGAAAACAGACCCUUAUUUCUUGUUGUUACAAUGAUUUUACUUCCUUUACAAAGCCAAUUUUGCACGCCGAUGAUUUUAUUGAAUUGGUCCCUUUUGUCCACAUCAUCUAGAACAAUAAGAGUUCUUUUGCAACAUAAUGCAUCCUUAAUCUUCAGAAUUCCUUCAUCUUCAUCAUUUAUCUCAUCAACAGUCUUUUUUAGGAUGUCGGAAAGAAGUUGCCUUUGCAGGCAAACUAUAUCCUUUGAUCUAAAAUUUGAUAGGAAGCUCUUUCCUUCAAAUUUAUGAAUAUUCUGAUUAAAAACACUCUUUGCUAUGGUUGUCUUCCCAACUCCACCAUUUCCAUAGAGUAUAGCAAUGGCAGCAUCAUGGGACCCAUCUUGCAACCAUGAGUUGAUAUAAUUUACUAGAGGAUCUCUUCCAAUGAAAUGAAGGGGUACAUGAAACAUUUUUUUAUCCAAUUUCUUUGAGACCUUCUCCACAAUAGAUUGGACAAACUGUGCCUCGUACCUACAUCAAAAAGUAAAAUACAAUGUGUGAUAAUUAGUAGGCUCUCUAUAAGCAAUAGAAAUAAACAACAUUUAGCUAAGAAAUUAAAGCAGGUUGUGUGUCAAUGAUUUGAUGGUUAAAACCAAAUCGUGAUUGAAAAAAAAAAACAAAGAAGAAAUCAUAAGUAUUUUAUUUUAUUUUUCUUAUAUGUUUUCUUAUCAAUACACUUAACUGAAAGAAAUUUAGAGUUCACUACCAGCAUUAUAGUCUUAUGCUAUGUGUAGUUUCAUCAAGAGAUACAACUUACCCAUCUCCUAAAUCCAUUCCAGCUAAAUCUGCAACUUCCUUCAAAGCAAUCCUCCACCCAUUCACCCGCUCCAUCUUCUCCUUGUAAUGCUUUUCAUGUUCCACAAAUGCAGCAGCAAAGCUCCCUGUUUGAUUUCUGACUUCAGAUGGAUCCACAUCAUAGAAUACUGGCAAAACUAUACAGUCAUCAUUCCUCUUACGUUCCAUGAUCAUUACAAGUUCAUCAAGGCACCAUCUUGACGAAGCAUAGUCUUUGGAGAACACGAUUAUCGAUAUUUUCGAUUGUUGUAUUGCCUUCUGGAGCUCGAAACAUAUGUUCUCUCCUCUCUGAAUUUCAUCAUCAUCUCUAAAUGUGUGAAUCCCUGCAUCAACCAGGGCCUUGUAGAGGUGAUCGGUAAAGUUCUUGCAGGUGUCUUCACCUCUAAAACUCAAGAACACUUGAUAUUUCCCGGGAGCCAUUCCAAUUCUAGCAAAUAUAAGACUUUUCAAAGAUCUGAACAAAAAAAAAGGAGUUGCAGGAUUAAUGUCGAUAGUUCAAGAUCGACCGCACACCAAUAAGCUGAAGUAUUCAUAUAUUAUUAUCUUACUUUUUCUAUAAAACAAUUUUCAAGAUUUCCCAGCAAUCAACUCCUCCAUGCCCUCUCAGAAAAAUAUUUGUACUUAUGAUAAAUUAAAUCUCUAUGCUGAACCAGCAAAAUCGGUUGAUGAGUUACAUUCCACAAUAUAACAUAAUACCAAAAGAGAUGAGCAGAGUUACCUGCAAUCAUCACUUUCCCUUCGCUGAUGUUCUCUUAUCAGUUCAUCAAUUUUCUGCUUUUAAAUCAACCUUAAAAGUCUCUGUGGUAUGGGCCAUUUCUGCGUUAGGACCUUUUUUGUUUUUUUAAUUUGCUCAAAAUUGAGAGAGAAAGGUUGGAUUGUAAUUUUAAGACAAGUCAUCCCCACAAAUCCACUCUCUCUAUGGUAUGGAAUGUUUCCGAGUGAGGACUUUUUUGGUUUUAUUUUGAUCAAGACUUGGAUGUUGAAUAUAAUCACUAAUCUAUUUGAUUAUACAAAUGCACACUGAAUUUUCCAUGGCUAAUGGCGGAAGCAGAAAGUCGGAAUGUCUAGGCAUGACCAGUUAUGCAUGGAAAAUUUUGGUACCAGGAAUUGAUGGCUAUUGACAUGGUGAAGUAAGAAAAAAGUUAGAAAAUAAACUCCACAAGUUGAUGGCUAUAAACAUCAUUUCUGUUUCUCUUUUUUCUCAUAUCUUUUGCUUCGUGGUUGGUAUCACUGUAUUCCUUUAACAAUAUCUUUUGCUCUGAGUAGACGAAGAUCCUUUAUCUUAAAAAAAACAGAGUUGCAGGAUUGAUGUCGAGAGUUCAACAUCGACAGCACACCAAUAAGCUAAAGUAUUCAUAUAUUAUUAUCUUACUUUAUCUUUAAAACAGUUUUCAAGUUAUUUCCCAGCAAUCAAAUCCUCCAUGCCCUUUCAGAAAAAGAUUAUGAUAAAUUUCUAUGCUGAACCAACAAAAUCGGUUGAUGAGAUCAUCAAUAAUUAGUUUCUGACAGUGAAUUAAUCGAAGUGAUUCUCAGUUACAGCAGAGAUAUAUUCCACAAUAUAACAUAAUACUAAAAGAGAUAAGAGAGAGAGAGUACCUGCAAUCUUCACUUUCCCUUCGCUGAUGUUCUCUUAUCAGUUCAUCAAUUUUCUGCUUUUAAGUCAACCUUACAAGUCUCUGUGGACCUUUUUCUCUUUUAAUUUGCACAAAUCAUUUAUCACACGUUUACUAGGGCCUGUAAUUCUUGUUAUAAUUACCAAAAGGGACAUUAGACACACACACAACACAUAAUCCCUCUCAUCAACUCACACGGUUCUUCUUACUUCACCCACCAGUAAGAAAAAGGCACGUGCAGGAUCAAGGCUCUUCAUAUCUGACGUGGAGAGUUUACUAGCCUGUAAUUUUGCAUCAUUUGAAUUGAUUCUAGCUUUUUCUUUCUGUUGAAAGUCAAGUGUAUAUAUAUGAAGAAUUAGUCAGAAAAACAAAGCAAUUGGUUAAAUAGGGAUGGUAGGAGGGGAAGUUGCUGAUUACAUUUUAUCUGUUUCUCUGGACAACAUUUCUGCUGGUGUCUUUAGAAGACAAACUUAUGCCAAGAAAGAGAGAGAGAGUUUCUCAUGUUGGAAAUGCAGAGUGUUUAACUCAGAGUCCUGUCUUGAACUCUAAGGCUGAGUGUACAACAACUUCAAAAGAAGUAUGUAAAACUGGGGAAAGACAUUCUGAAGAAUUUUGGAUGGUUAGAUCUCGGGAGGAAGGUUUAUCCUUGGGAGGGUGGAUUAUCAAAAUCACAAAAAAAAUUUCUAAUAAUAAGAGAAGCUAUUUCUGCUUUUGAUACAGGUACAUUAUCAUUGUGUUAACUUCACUGUUUGAUGAGCUGCUAUUAUCAUCAGUUCCUUCCUCUUCAUGCAGCAUUCGCAUAACAACUGGAUCAUCUGUAAACAUUGAAAAACUGAAUUCAUCACCAUUAUCAAAUGCAGGAUCAUUGCCCCCAAAUUUCCAAUAGCUUAGCCAUAACAAUUCAGAUUUUUCGGCCAAAAAUUAUAUCGAAAAAUUGAGGGGUAAAAAACCCAGACUCUACCCUUCGUAUUGUUUCUGAUUUCAAGAUAAACAAGACGAUAAGGAUUGCAUACUGACAUAGCAGAAAACCAUGUGAAUAGAUCAAAGCCACAUAUCCGGUGCGCGGCGGGUGAGGAUAUUUUGAAUGACAAGUACUCUACAAAUUCUUUCUAAAGUAGCCACUCCUGUUCUUCCUCCUCGUGAAACCACCUUAACAUCUCAUUUUCAACAUAUUCAAGGACAACAUUGAAUCUGUUGCCCUAAAGUUCUAUCUGUUCCAUCAAAGCAAAAUUUAUAUAAUGAGCAAAGGAAAAAUUUUCUAGACAUACAAGAGCAAAAAAUUAGAAUUGAAAUAAAGCAGAACUUAUAAAAUGAGCAACGGAGAUCAAUAAUUUUAAAUUUUGGAAGAGACUGUGAAAACACUUGAAAUCAGUUGCUGUCCAUUGAAAAUAAGAGAGAUAGCUGUAUAGAGAGACUAGAUACAUAUCAGUUUGCCUUUCCAAGCAACAAUUAGACUGGUUCUGGAUUAGAUAAAGAACCACAAGCUUCUCCAAGCAGAAGUGCUUUGGUUUGGAUCUUGUAAUUACCCAACCUUUUUAUUUUAAUUUUUUAUUAUUCUUAUUAUUAUUUUCCUUGAAAAAUGAUGAUGAAAAACACAAAUAAAAAAAUGAAAUAAAUGAAGAAUAAAUUAAAAUUUGGAUUAACAGUAACAUGAGUAGAAGUUUUGGGAUUUAAUUAAACUUUGCAUUAGUUUUAUUAACCAAAUUAAUAAAGGAAAAAAACAAUCGAACAGAGGAGAGGGAGUGAAAGUAGGAAACACAGAAUCCCCAGAGAAGAACAGAGCAUAUACGGGGAAACUAAAAAAAAAAAAACAGAGGAAAACAAACACAGGCAAAGGUUGCACCGAGAGAAAGUCAAUCCUAAAUCUUGCACCUAUAUAUACCGAGCCCAUCAAGUGUCCUAACUGCAUGAUCUCUAUCCAUUCCAUUAAAUAAACAAGCUAUAUCAAGAAAUAAGUUCUUUUGAUAAUCAUCAUCAGGAGAGUUGGAACUUUUUGCAAGAACCUUUUGAACUUGACAAUUUGGAAUCACUUCCAUUUCAUGUAAUGCGAUUUCCCAUACUUUCCUACUUUUACCAAAUAAUGAAGAGCCAAUAGCACAAAGGGCUAAUGGAAGUCCAUUACAAUGAUGUACUAGUCUCCAAGAUUCCUCCACAAAAUUUUUUUAUUGUUGUAUUGUCUGUCGGAGCUGACUUGAUAUUUUCUCCUCUCCUAAUUCCAUCAUCGUCUCUAAAUGUGUGAAUCCCUGCUUGAACAAGGGCUGUGAAGAGCGAUCAGUAAAGUUCUUGUGGGUGUCCUUGCCCCUGAAACCCAAGAACACUUGAUAUUUGCAACGAGAAGACCGUGAAGACGAGGGUUCUUGAUAUUUGAAUCUAGCAAAGAAAACAAUUUCAAAGAUCUCACAAAUGAGAAAAAAAAAAAAGCUUGCAGGAUCAAUUGUCGAUUAUUCAAGAUUCUGUAACACACCAAUUAGCUAAAGUAUUAAUAAUUGUUAUCUUACUUCUUCGUUAAAGCAUUUUUUCAAGUUAUUUCCCAGAAAUCAACUCCUCAGGCCAUUUCAGAUAAAUAUUUGUACAUAUUUUAUCAGCACUUGCUACCAGCAUUUACAAGCACACAAGGAUGCCCAUCUGGAAGGCUAAAUUAUUUGCAAAAGCACACAUCUUGCAAUCCUAACAAUACCCGAGAAAGUGAAUUUAGUAGUUUAUAACUUACAGUAAAAACACACACAACUUAUUUGUAUAAAUUACCGAUCAUUCCAGUGUUUAUUAUCAAAUCAUAUUAUAGGUUGCGCUCAAUUAUAAUAGUAUUAUUAAAUAAACUAAAAGCAUGUUAGCUAAAAGAAAUAGGUUGAAAAGGAAUUUAUAUAUUACAAAAUUCAUGAUGAAAUAUCUUGGUCUAAGAUACUAAAAAAUUGAUGUACCCAAACUUUUACAUAUUAUAUCAUGAUGAAAUAUGUAAAUUUUACGAAGUGUAAAUCUUGUCUGGCUGGUAUAAAUUUAAUAGCUUCAAAAUCAUCCUGAAUGGAUGAGUAUGGUUGAGACUUGUUGAGACUUGUUGAGAAAGUUGAGACGUGGUGCAAAUCUUGUUCCAGAGCCACAAAGGCCAUCUGUCAAUCAACUGUACGAUGAGUUUACAGAACAUGUAUAAGAUUACUCACUUCUGGAUGAGGAAAGUUGCAUAGAAUAUAGAUUUGAUUGAUUACCAACGGUGGAAAAAAAAUCACUCAAAAUUUAUUUCUGCAUGAGUCAAUACUGAAAAGACAUACAUGUUGCCUAUUCAUGAGCUAACUGGCUUGAGCUUUUACCAAAUCUGUGGUGUCCUUGAUAAAAUGGGCUUUCUCGUUAUUCAGAAUGAUGGAUUUGAACUGGAUAAGAAAGUGGUAGUCAUUGCAGACACAAGUAGAAAACAAGACCUCGAUCCUGCUGCAAUCAGGUAUAUCAGUUAAAAGUUCUAUGUAUCAUGUUGAUCAUUGCCUGAGCCAAUUGGAUUGUUUUCUAACUUGUUUUAAAUGUGUUCUUAGUCUGUUUGAUUCAAUGAUUACUUUUUGCCUACCUGUUCGGAGGAAUCACCAGGAAAUAGCUACCCAGUACGCUAAGCACUUAACAAAAUGAGGGGAAAGAGUAAAGGAUUUACUAUCUUAUUUUUCAAGGAAUCCUAGGUGAUGUCGGAGUAAAGGAUCGUCAACAAGGGUGUUUUAAUUAGCUCUUGUAGAUUCUUAUCCAAAACUUGUAUCAUUUGUUAAUGUCAUCGCUAGAAACAUGUAAAGUGCAUGCCGAAGCUAAUAAAGAAAGUUUCAUAAGAUAGUAACAGAGAAGUAAUGCAGAUUGUUUCAUGACCGGCAUGAUUUGUUAAUCAGGUGGGUGAUUUUGGCUUCUCAUACCAUGAGCUCCAUUGUCCUCUCAGUACCUUAAUAAUAUUGAAUACAAAAAAAAAAAAAAAAAAUAUUCCAUUCAAAUAGCAAAAAUAGAAAAACCUAAAAAUAUUGAAUUGGAAAAUAAAAAUAUAAAAAAUAAAAUCAAUUUAUUCUCCUAAAAAAUUCAUGCAUCGGUCUUCCUUGAUUAGAAAGAAUUCAUACUCGAGUUUAGACCUUAGUAAAGAACCUUCCUUCAUGAAUAUCCUUUGUGUGUGGAUCACCGUAUUAUAGCCCUCUAAGACUUUUUAUAUGGAUCACUCUAUCAUGCAUCCCUAACACAAAACCUUGUGUGAGUUGCCCCAUUGUUAAUCCUACCAUCAGUAUUUCAAAUAACAAUAACUACUGCAGACAAAAACAAUGAGAAAAAAGUUCAAUCAACACAUUAUUGGUGAUACAGAAUAAUGCAAUAAAUAUUAAAUUUUUUUGCAUUUUGAGAACACAUAAAACAUCUUGUAAGUGCAAAAAGAUGUAGAAGUAGGAAGAGAUACUGAACUAGUGUGACUUACGGGAAGGUUGGUACCAUCGCUGAACAUAACAUCAUCUUGUUCAUUAUAUGAUGUAUGGAGAGAAAGAUUGUUAAAGUUUGCAGUUACAUGAUGGAAAGCGUGUUCCCACCACUAUCCAAUAACCAUGACGCAAUGGUUGAUGGAGAUGAAGAAGAAAAAAUUUCCUGGGGAUUCCAGGAGGAUGGCAUGCCAUUGGAGGAGUUAGCAGUGGUAGAACCAUAAACAUUGUCAUAACCCAGUUUUGACAUUUUUUAUUUAUUUAUUUAUUUAUUAUUUUAUUUUUAAAAAAAUGAUGAAAAACAAGUAAAAAUAAAAUAAAUGAAGAGUGAAUUAAAAUUUGGGUUAAGGGCAACACGAUUGGAAGUUUAAAGAUUUAAUUAAACUCUUGACUAGUUUAAUUAAUUAAAUCAAGGGCUUAAUUGGAGAAUUGAUUUAAUUAAAAUUUAGAUGAUUUUUAACUAAUGAAAUCAAGAGUUUAAUUGAAGAAUUAAUGAGUUUGAGGACUUAAUUAAACUUUGAUUUAAUUAAUUAAAUGAAUCAAGGGUGUAAUUGAAGAAAUACCAAAGUUUGGAGCUGAUUCAAGGAAAAAUUGCUAUAAAAUUAAAGUCCAAGGACCAAAUUGAAUAGUCCAAAAACCCAGGACUGUUGUGUAAAUGGCACUAUAAAUCAAGGAUUCAAUUGACUUAAUCCAAGGGUACAAUUAGAAAUUGAUUAUUAAUGAUUAAGAUCUCAAUUGUGAAGUUCAAAACAUCCAGGGACCAAAGUGAAAAAUGCCUCAAAACACACAAACGGCGCCGUUUGCAAUAAUACUGUUCGUCAUCCCUUCCAUUUCGCCAGGGCAGCCGAUUCAACAGGAAAAUCAGUGCAUCCGAUUCAACAGGCCAUGUCUUCUGCCACGAUCCCGGUCGUGAAGGAGACGGUUUUUGAAGAUCUCUAGCCUUAUAAAAAAGGGGUGAAGAAACAGAACGCAGAGGGGGGGGCGAGGAUCCGGAGCUAAAAAAAACAGAGCAGAAAUACAGAGUAAAAAAAAACACAAAUUCACAGGGAGAGGGGGGGAGUCAGCAACAGAGGAGAAAAAAAAAGGAAGAAAAACUGGAAAACUGGCGGAAAAAAGACCAGGAGACAAAGGACGAGAAAAAAAACUGGGAAAGGAAGAACUGCGAAAAAUCGAGGAGCAGAAACAGAGACCGAAACCAGAGGGAACAGUAGCCGAAAACCAGAGACAAAACGGAGAGGCAGAUAACAAAACAGGGAGAACGAACAAGAGGGCAACACACAGUGAGGAGAAUUAUCCUUGAAAUUGUCCUCGUACCUGCAAACAAAGAAAAAAACCCGGAUUCAGCCAAAGAACACUCACAGCAAACCGGCAUCUUCUUUGUAGUUUGAAAAGCUACUGAGAAAUCAAGAAGGAAAGCACAGACAAGGGAUCACAGCGGGGAGAGAAUAGAAAGCAGUCGAACGAGAGCAGCAGCCACCAGCAUCGCAGCCUUCUUCAUCGUCUCCAGAAGCAGGUAUGACUUCAUCCCCUUCGUAUCUUCAUUUCAAAAUGCAAUUGUUAAUGGUACAAGAACACUGUGUGAAGGUAAUUUAAUUACCUUCACCAGUGUUCGUGCACGCGUGAACAAUUCACGCGAGCUUUUAUUUUUUUGGCCCAGCCGGUCACUGGCUUGGGCCAGUGACUGGGCUGGGCUGGCUGGGUCCAGCCCAGCCCAUGUGGACUGAGCUGGGCCCAGCCCAAAAAUGUAAAUAAAAAAAUAUAUAAUAAAAAUUAUGUAUGUAAAAAAUAAUAAUAUGAAUUUAUUGUUUUUUUUUAUUCAUUGACGCUAGAGUCACAAUAAAAAUACCAAUUCAAAUUUAUUUCAUUGUGUUUUAUUAAGUUAUAUAAGAAUAAAAAAUGUGCGUGCAAAAAAAAAUAAUAUAAGAUAAAAUAAAAUAAAUUUAUUUGGUAUAUUCACUGACGCCAGAGUCAGGAAGAAAAAUAUUAAUGUAAAUUUAUUUAAUUUUUUUUUUGUUUUGUUUUUAUUUAGCUACAUUAAAAAAUAAAAAUAAUGCGUAUGCGUAAAAAAUAAAUUGAUUUUUGAUUUGUUUAUUCACUGACGCCAGAGUCAGGAAUAAAAAAAAUAAUGAUUUAAAUUUAUUUAUUUUGAUACCUACGUAAUAUUUACCAACGCCAGAGUUAGAAAUAUCCGUAGUUGAAUAAAAAUAAUGUGUAUGUGUAAAAAAAAUUGAUUUUUAUUUGUUUAUUCACUGACGCCAGAGUCAGGAAUAUUAAAAAUAAAUGAUGAUCUAAAUUUAUUUAUUUUGAUACCUGCGUAAUAUUUACCAACGCCAGAGUUGGAAAUAUCCGUAGUCGAAUAUUCACUAGCGCCAGAGUCAGAAAUAUUAUAAGCAAAUUAUCAUAUCGUAAACUAAUAAACAUUUAGCAAUUUAAGACGAAAUUAGCAAUGCAGCCUGCCUCAGGCAGGACGUUUAAGGGGUGAUAAUAUCUUCCAUUUUACGUAACCAGUCCCGAACCAUAGAAUCUCUGUUGACCAGUUAGGGUUCCUAGUGACCAUAAUACUAGGUGGCAACUCCUUAAACAAGAAUAUCCCCCAUCAAAGAAUAGGAUGCCAGAAAUCCAUUCUUUUCCAAAAGAUUUAAUUAUUUUUAAGGCCGCCGCGAUGUCGGGUGUGACAGAAUGGCAACUCCACUGAGGACCAAUGGACUAAGCUUUGCCUUUUAUUUGUCAAUUGCUAUAAUGUUUGUUACGUUGUGCUUAUUUGUUUAUUUUUUUCCUGCAUUUUACUGCUUUAGCAUGCAUCCUUGUUUAUAUUGUCAUGCAUCACGUUAAAAGCACACACCUUACAACCUAAGAUAAGUGGGGGAGUAACGGUACCCCAAUGGCUUUAGCCUGGGUAAGACUCGUGAAACCAUCCAACUUUCGCUUGAUUGUUUACUUGGAAGUGGUCGAUAUGCCAAACUGAGAUUACUCAGGGCCUCUAUCUUCACACUACUUGUAAGCCUCAUAUCAACCUUUUUAAGGACGAUCACUAAGCAUGCGAGAGACCCAUUUGAAACUAGAUAAUGAUCAACCCCUUUAUGCACUCAACAAUUAGGAUCUUCCUAUUAGGUUGUUAUCCCGUGAAGGGCGUGCCCACAUUUCAUACGCAUUUUUAAUUGAAUCAACAUUUUUGCAUAAGGCUCUUUGUUGUGCCUCCUGAUGUAAGUUGUGUUGUGUGUUGGGAAGGAUUUUUGGAUUUAAUCAUAAAAUUAUGAUUAAUUUUUAGGAGUCACCACCUAGUAUUAUAGUCACUAGAAAUCUAUGGUCUGCAAGAAUCUGGGUAAGGGAAUGGUUGUGCAAGGGGAAGACGCGUCACCCUCAGUGCACCCUACCUAAGGUAAGCUGCAUUGUUGUUUGAUUGUUUUUUGUUGGUCUUUCUAAGGCUCAAGGUAGAUCUCUCUUCAUGAGAGAAUCUCUACCUUAUUGGGUUAAAUCCUAACCGUUCUAAAGUCUGAAUUUUAGCAUCGCAUUUAUUUACACCUUGUAUCUUUAAUACCUGAGGGUGUACUUUAUCGUGUAAUUUUACACCACACAAAUAUUAAAGUCUACAUCUAGAACCUAAAAAACAUGAUUGAAAAAGGUUUUUGACAUUUUUGCCAAAUCCUAAUGGAUAAUCAUAAACUGGUUACGAUAUCCAUUUUUGGAUUUUAAAAAAAAAAAACAUGAAAAAGAUGCAAUUUUUGUUUUAGUUUUUUUUUGUAUAUGAAAAGUAUGAUUGGAAAAUUUUAGGAUUUGGCCGUAUGCAAUAAGAUAUUUUUAUUUGUGAAAAUGCUUUUGAAUUUUUUUUUUUUUGAAAUAUUUUGGAGAAAACCGGGUAUUUUAAUACCGGAUUUGUAUUUUACAAUGUAAAUAUACAACCCGAUAUUAUGCAAAAUAGAUAGAAAAAUAUUUGAGAAAAUAAAAAAAAAUUUAAAUUGAUUUUUGGAUUUUCUUUUUUAAAAAAAUGUCCACUGCAUGAACAGUGGACGUGAAUUAUAAUUCACGUCCACCGUUCACUUAAGAACAGUGGGACUUGCACGGGGAAGACGAAGAACUAGGGGAAGGGUGGCAGACCACCUGGUAUGGCGGUGUUGGCUGACUGGCGGGGGAGGAAGACCUCAAGCCGUCGGUGGAAACGACGAUGGAGUUAGCUGCCUGAAUCGCCUGGAGCGGCUGUAGCUGGAAGAGGAAGAAAUCUGCAAAGGGGAGAGAGACGCUCGCGGUGGCUGGCCGAUGGUCUUGGCAACACGUGGUGGUUUUGCUUGAUCAAGGCGGAGCUGGAGGAAGAGAUGUUGAUGGCGUCAGUUUCCUGUGGCGGAGUAAGAAAGAAGAAGAAGCAGAAAAAUAAAAAUAAAAUCUGCAGUGGGGGAGGAAGGCUGGUUUUUUGGCUUACUUUGGACCCGAUUUUCUCCUCUCUCAAACCAUCAAUGGAGCCUCUAUUUAUAGGCGGUGGAAGAGGGUAAUCUCGUCUACCCCGGGGUAAAAUUUCAGCCAUUGAUUUAGUUGGGAAUGAUCCCAACCGUUGGCUCAAAGUAGGCAUCCUGAGUUGUCAAUUCUGCAGAAAAAGCUGCCUGAGUGGUCAUGUUUGAUCAGAAAGGGCUUGAUUGGGUACAUAACAUAGGUUUUGGCUCUUGGCUAUGAAGAAAAAGGAUAUUUAUAGGCUCAAAAGGUGUUUAAGGGAUUUCAAGACUAAGGAUCACUAGUGCUUAUAUCCUAAAUUUUUUUUCUUGAAUUUCUGGAAUUGAUUUUCAAAAUGAUCCAUAGUGCCCCCCAAUAUUGGGCUUUUUCUUUUGGUUUUGAGCAUCAUUAUAUUAGUGAUUUUUGUGGCACGCUCAAAUCUUUUUGGAACUCUUAUAUGCCCCCAGCUUUGUUUGGACACUUUUGAUUAAUGAGGAUUUCGUUUCAUGCUCUAUAGUGUUGUUUGGGCGCUUUUAUCAUUUGAGGACUUUUUAUGCCCCCAGGGUUGUUUGGGCAUUUUUUGUCAUUAUUGAUUUUUUGCACUUGCUCCCUAGUGUAGGGUGUGAUCCUAGUUAAGGUUAUUUUCCAAGAAAUAUGCAUUAGGCUCAAAAAGGGACUGUAAUGGAUUUUUAGACGUUGUGAAAGGAUGAUCAAAGAUAGCCUUUCUUCAUUUCAAAUGCAUUCAUUCAAAAUCGGCAAGCUUUGCUUUCUCACAUGUGAAUAUGCAAAAAUGGUUUCUCAUUAUUCAUGCAGUCAAAACUCAGCUUUGAAGUUAUCUCAUGGUGUUUGGGUUGUUUUUCAGGUUUUUUAAGUGUUAGGAUAUCACUUGAAUUUUCAGAACUUGUUUAUUAGAUCAAACACCAAUUUGAUUUUUGUUCUUGUAUUAAAACUUUGAUUUCCCAAAAAUCCUUGUGAAAACAUGGGGUCAUGUUUUUUUUUUUUUGAAAGGGGAAAAGAAAACACCAAAGAAUUUGUGGCUUUGUGAGUGAAGGGUAUGCUCAGUAUGUUAUUUGCAUGGAAGCACAUCAUGAACAUAGAAAAACACAUGAUUUUAUUAACAGGAAAGGCUCAUUUAACAGAGAGUCUUGUAGCAUUAUGAGCCAGAUUGCCAACAAAACUAAAACAGGUUGAAACAGACAUGAUCAAACAAAAGAAAACUUUAUCCUCUAUCCUCGAGAGUGCACACUGCCUUCUUCACACCUUGCUCCUACCAUCAAUGAUUUGAUGUUUUCGGAACAUUCCACCUCUAGUGCAUUCACCGAUCCACUACCUGAAGCAUGAUUGGGUAGAGGGUUCAAACUCACGUUUGGAGUUCCUUCGAGGGUGAUCCAUCCAGCUUUAAUCAUAUGCAUAAGCCUCUUCUUAAAGGCACUGCAAGUAUGAAUGUUGUGUCCCGCGACUCCAGCAUGGUAUUCGCAAGUGAGGUCGGGCUUGUACCAAGGUUGUCAAUUCCGUUUUGUUCCAUCCGGAAUGGCCGAAACAUUCCAUACCAAUUUAAAAAACGGAACAAAACGGAACAAAUUUCAUCUCAUUUUAAAUCUCGGUCUAUUCCGGAUUUUUCGGCUAAAUUCUGCCCGAAACGUUCCGGUUUCAUUCCACAUGUUUCGUUCCGCUUUUGAAAAGCCAUUGAAUCAAAUUGAACCUUGCUCAAUUUCAUUAACUUAAACCACCUGAUUAUAAAAAAACUCUUUUUCAUUACUAUUUUCAAUAGCAAUGAUAUUAAUAAUAAUAUUGAAAAUUAUUAUUACUAUUUUCAUUAAUAAUGAUAUUAAUUUUUUAAAAUUAGAUUUAUCACUAAUAUAUAUGGUUUAUAUUCAUGUUUUUUUUUUUCAUGUUUAUACUUUGUAGGAAUUUGAUCAAAACAAGGGAUGCUUCAGAUUCCAUUAGCCACUUAAUAACAUUGACCUAAGUUUAUAUUUAAAAUAUAUUUUUUUAAACAUUUUACUUUCAUAAUAUUUUGAUAGUUUGUUUAAGUUGAAUUACUUUAAGUUAAAGAUCUAUUUAAUCUUGAGUAUUUAGAAAUAUUUUAAAUUUUAAAAUUAUAUUUGUUUGGCAUUGUGUUUGUAUUGCAUAAUUUAUAAUUAAUUUAUCUUGAAUUUGAAUUAUAUUUGUUGAAUAUAUAUAUAUGAACAGUACAACCCCGAAACGGCACGCCGAAACACUCUGAAACUUAAACAUUCCAUUCCAAUUGAAAAAAUGAAACACCUACCAAAACGGAAUUAACAACCUUGGCUUGUACCAAUUGGGUAAGGUGGUUGUAAAGGCGUCAAGGGUUCAGGAGCUAUACGCCCAAUGCUUAGUAGCUUUUGAUACAUCUCAUUUAAAGGCAAUGGUAAUGGAGGUAGUUGUUCUUGAGCUCUUUGGUGUUUGGUUUGAGGCUCGGGUUUUUUGGCAGGAAAAGAAGAGUUGAAAUUGAUGUUGUCUAUUUGGGGUGAAGUGUGAUAGUUUUGGAAUGGGUUCUUCCUACCCUCAACAUGGCCAACCUCUUUCUUUUUACCUUCGAAGCCCCUUUUUUCCAUAGGUGCGGAGAUUCUACCACUCUUUAUUCCUUGUUCUAUGCGUUCAGCUACUGCCACAACAUAAGUAAAUUGAUGGGUCGAACUACCCAUAACAUGCACGUAGUAUAGGUCAUUGAGCGUAUUGGCGAACAGAGUGACCAUCUCUUUAUCUAGGAGCGGAGGAUGUACUUGAGUAGCUAGGUCUCUCCACCUUUGAGCAUAUUCCCUUAUGCUUUCCUUGUCCCCUUUCCCUAGAUUGGACAGACUGGUUCUAUCAGGAGCAAUGUCCAUAUUGUACUUGUAUUGCUUGACAAAAGCAUCUACCAAGUCUUUCCAUUUUUGGAUCUUUGUGUUGUCCAAUCUCAUAUACCAGCUCAAUGCUGCCCCACUUAAGCUAUCCUGGAAAAAGUGCAUUAGUAGUUUUUCAUCAUGUACUACUUCUGCCAUUUUGUUGCAAUAGAAUUUGAGAUGAGUCAGGGGGCAUUGUGUUCCGGUAUAUUUGAUGAAUUCAGGAACACGAAACUUUUUUGGGACAAUCACAUUUAGGACCAAACACAUUUCUGCUGCCCGUACUGGAUCAUACAAGUCUACCCCUUCAAUGGCUCUAUUUCGGGCUUCCAGCGCUGCCAUCUUAUCAAUGUCAUCAGAUGACUUCGUCUUAUGGGACUCAUUGGAAAAUGGAUCUGUGACUACAGGGGCUGGUGCCGAUGGCAUUGAGUGCACAAAUGCUGGAUUGUGUGGAGGUUCUUGACCAUGUUCACUCAUUGUUUCUUCAAGUUGAGCUAUUGCUGGAGGCUGAACAAAAAUAGCUGGCCGAUUAGAAUGACCUUCACCAGAGGCAUUUCUAAGUGUUUGCUCGAGUAAGCUAGUGAGGUGAGCCACGCUUGCUUUCAGAGACUCUAACUCUUAUGGGCGUCACAGUGAGCACGCUCUUCAUCUUCCAUGUUUCUCGCUUAGAGUUGGGUGUUGUAGACUCUUUGGGGACCUAUAUUUUGACAUGUUGCAUGUAUGUAUGUUAUUUACAAUGAAUUGAUGUAUGUGUAUGGAUGAAAAUGUAUGUAUAUUCACAUUGGGUAUGAAUGGCAAAAACUCAUGCAAAAUGAUUAACAAGAGAGUUCAUACUCUAAAGGAAGGUUCUAGGUCAUUACAUGAUGGGUAGGCUUUCUACCUGGUCUUAAAAAGGUCUAUGAACUGCCUAAUGACCACCUUACGUGAAGGCAGUGCAGGGGUUUACAAGUAAUGGUUGGGGCACAAUGUGACCGCCAUUACCGAGUAAACACUCAGCUCAUAGUUGGAUGUUUCACGAAUCUGAACCCCGACUGAAAGUCAUGAGGCAGAUCGCUACUCCCCACCUAACCUAGAAUUGGGUUUAUUCGUAUGCUAAAGUAAUAAAAAUACGAGCUAAAAUUAAAGACCAACAAAAGGAAAAUAAUCAAACAAUCAAUGCUUAGUCUAACCAGAAAUGGCUUUCCCCAGCGGAGUCGCCAUCCUGUCGCGGGGGCCGCAACGUCGUUUGGCGACGGCGGAGGUUCUUUGUCGUGCCACCUGAUGUGAGUUGUGUUGUGUGUUGGGAAGGAUUUUUGGAUUUAAUCAUAAAAUUAUGAUUAAUUUUUAGGAGUCGCCACCUAGUAUUAUGGUCACCAGGAACCUAUGGUCUACGAGAAUCUGGGUAAGGGACUGGUUGUGCAAGGGGAAGAUGCGUCACCCCCAGUGCACCCUACCUAAGGUAAGCUGCAUUGUUGUUUGAUUGUUUUUUGUUGGUCUUUCUAAGGCUCAAGGUAGAUCUCUCUUCAUGAGAGAAUCUCUACCUUAUUGGGUUAAAUCCUAACCGUUCUAAAGUCUGAAUUUUAGCAUCGCAUUUAUUUACACCUUGUAUGUUUAAUACCUGAGGGUGUACUUUAUCGUGUAAUUUUACACCACACAAAUAUUAAAGUCUACAUCUAGAACCUAAAAAACAUGAUUGAAAAAGGUUUUUGACAUUUUUUCCAAAUCUUAAAGGAUAAUCAUAAACUGGUUACGAUAUCCAUUUUUGGAUUUAAAAAAAAAAAAAACAUGAAAAAGAUGCAAUUUUUGUUUUAGUUUUUUUUUAUAUGAAAAGUAUGAUUGGAAAAUUUUAGGAUUUGGCCGUAUGCAAUAAGAUAUUUUUAUUUGUGAAAAUGCUUUUGAAAUUUUUUUUUUUUUGAAAUAUUUUGGAGAAAACCGGGUAUUUUAAUACCGGAUUUGUAUUUUACAAUGUAAAUAUACAACCCGAUAUUAUGCAAAAUAGAUAGAAAAAUAUUUGAGAAAAUCACAAAUUUUUUAAAUUGAUUUUUGGAUUUUUUUUUUAUAAAAAAAUGUCCACUGCAUGAACAAUGGACGUGAAUUAUAAUUCAUGUCCACCGUUCACUUAAGAACAGUGGAACGUGAAUUAUAAUUCACAUUCCACUAUUCAAAACAGUGGGACUUGCAUGGAGAAGACGAAGAACCAGGGGAAGGGUGGCAGACCACCUGGUAUGGCGGUGAUGGCUGGCUGGCGGGGGAGGAAGACCUCAAGCCGGCGGUGGAAACGGCGGUGGAGUUAGCUACCUGAAUCGCCUGGAGCGGCUGCAGCUAGAAGAGGAAGAAAUCUGCAGAGGGGAGAGAGACGCUCGCGGUGGCUGGCCGGUGGUCUUGGCAACACGUGGUGGUUCUGUUUGAUCAAGGCGGAGCUGGAGGAAGAGAUGUUGAUGGCGUCGGUUUCCUGUGGCGGAGGAAGAAAGAAGAAGAAGCAGAAAAAUAAAAUCUGCAGUGGGGAAGGAAGGCUAGUUUUUUGGCUUACUUUGGACCCGAUUUUCUCCUCUCUCAGACCAUCAAUGGAGCUUCUAUUUAUAGGCGGUGGAAGAGGGUAAUCUCGUCUACCCUGGGGUAAAAUUUUAGCCAUUGAUUUAGUUGGGAAGGAUCCCAACCGUUGGCUCAAAGUAGGCAUCCUGAGUUGUCAAUUCUGCAAAAAAAGCUGCCUGAGUGGUCAUGUUUAGGCCGGCGCCGUCUAGCUGGCAUUCAUACUGAAUUGUUUACUUUAAUAUGUAGAGAAACUUCGGGGGAUCAUUUUCGUGCAAGAUUUGUCAACUUUGGUGGCUGGUAGGUACACUAAAUGCAACUGCAAAGUAGGCAACCAAACCAGCUUUUUUCAGAAAAAAGUGAAGAAGAUAAUGAACAGUUUUUGGCCAAUAUUCAUUUAAGUCCUCCAUCUGUCAAUUUCGUUCAAUGGAGCCCCCUAAUUGACCAUAAACUUUCAAUUGCUUCCAAUUUGGCCCCUAAUUCAACCAAUUUACUUGGUAAAAAUUAAAUUUGAUCUCUUAAAAUUUCAAUAUUCUCAAUUAAGCCUAAAUUAGGCUCCCAAACUUAAUUUUUUACCAAUUAAGCCUCAAAUAAAAUUAAUUUGACCCAUUUAAAGUAUAAUUAAGUCCUUGCACUUAGUUAAAUCCUUUAAUUGGACCCAAAUUAAUUCUUAAACAUAAUUAAAAAUUCAAAUUGGCCCAUGAUUAAAUGAAAUUGGCCUAUUAAAAAUUUAAUUAUGUCCUUGGACUUAAUUUUUAUGCAAAUUCGUCCAAUAAUCAUUUAAUUUGACCUUGAAUUUGCAUUGUUUUCUCCUUUUUUGGGCAUAAUGGGGUACAAAAAAUUGCAGCUUAAUUCUCCGACCUACUUUCUCCAUAUUACGAGCCUUUAUUUUAUUUUAUUUUUAUUUUGAAAAAGAAGUUAUUUUUGGGGAAUAACCCAUAAUUGGGUUAUGACAAAUUGCAUGAUUUACAUUUACAGGUUGAAAUAUAGGUUCCCCAUUAAAACCUACCUAUAACAAUCAUCUGAGAAAAGACAAAUGGAAAACGAAGAAAGAUCCCAGUUGGAAGCCCAACACCAAAAAGAGGUGGAUAAUCUUAAAGAAGAAGUUGUAAGGCUUACUAGUCUACUUGAACAGGCCUUGAGAGACAAAUCCAGAAAAGCAACACAUAUGUUUGUCUUAUGCUUGUAAAUCCCUUCACCUCACAGAAUCUAGGGGUAAGCGGUUUGUCAUUUGAUUUUCAACAAGCCAUGCAUUUCCAACCAGCGUACCCCACGAGAACGCUAUUAACCAUUGAUUCUACAGAGAAGGAAUCUCAAAAGGGCAAGAUGGUAAAAGAAGAUGAUCUGAACAAAUUCAUUGCCCUAGAGUAAAGGAUGAGGGCAUUUGAGGGAAUUCGCCUAUAUGAUCAUAUAAAGGCUACUGAGAUGUGUUUGGUGCCCCACGUUGUCAUUCCCAAAAAUUUUAGAGUGCCAGAAUUUGUUAAGUAUACGGGAACUCAGUGCCCUAUAACUCAUCUCAAAGCAUACUGCAACAAAAUGGCUGAGGUUGUUAAUGAUAAGAAACUGCUGAUUCAUUUCUUUCAAGACAGCUUGAGUGAUGCUGCCCUCACUUGGUAUAUGCGGUUGGACAAUACCAAGGUUAAAAAGUGGAAGGAUUUAAUUGAUGCCUUUAUAAGGCAUUAUAAGUUCAAUAUAGAUGUGGGCCUUGAUCGGUUAAGCUUGCAAGCUAUGGAGAAGGAUAAUAAAGAGUCCAUAAUGGAAUAUGCCCGAAGAUGGAGUGAGGUAGCUGCACAAGUUAACCCUCCUAUGUUGGAAAAAGAGAUGAUCAGUUUAUUUUCCAACACCUUUAAAGCUCUGUACUUUGAAUAUUUGGUCAGAAGCUCUGCACAACAUUUCACUAACCUGGUUGUUAUAGCUGAGAGGAUUGAACAAGCCAUUGGGUUAGGUAAGAUUGCUAACCCGAUGGAGAAGAACAGUUUCACUGAAGUUGAUUGCCAAGGCACUUAUCAUUUCUAUAGCUAAUUCCUUCACACCCGACUCCCAGAAAUCAAUUAUCUUGAAGAUAAAGCUAUGGUGAUAUUAGGUCGAGAAUGAUCUACAUAUAAUUUCAAUUGAUUGUUGAAAAGAUGCCCUUGUUGAGGAGAAUGAAUGAUUGAAAGAUUCCAGAAAUUCCAAUCAAUGAUAUCUAAAUGUUUAGCCCUUUUAUGUGUUAUCAUGUCAGUAUUCAUAGCUCAAGAUGUUGGCAUAAGUUCUUUGUUGUUAAACUUCUUUCCCAAAGUUUCAAUGAAAUAAUGAGUUUUUCAUUGAGUCAUGUUUACGCCCAAUCAUUAUUCAUUUUCUUGAGAGAGUUUUCUUAUAAAGACUCACAAACACAUCUUUGAAGCCUUGCACGAUCUCAUAGACGCAAUUCAUCUCUCUUACCAAAAUCAGUUUCCCUAUUGGAGUUUUGAAAAAUUGAUCUGGCAUUUUGAUUUCAAAAAUAAUUUGAUGUUUAUUCAAAAAUGAUAUUUUUGGCAUUCUACUUGUAGAAUGACAAGUGAAUCAAGCAACUCCAUCAUAGAGGUGACCAAACCCAAAAAAAAAAGAGAAUAAAUACCCUUACCCUAUGACUCUUGAAUCAUGUGUUUUUAAAUGUAUGAAUAAUGAUAUGUAGUGAACUUGUUGCUCAUGACUCAUGGAAUACAUCUUUGCAAAGACCAAACCAUCAUACUAGAUGAGGUCAAAGUUUAUUGAUCAUAGCUGCUUGUGCUUGAAAUGAGGAAAGGCCAUCUUUGUUAUUCCUUUCACGUUCUGACAUAAAUACAUCCCUUGCAAUCCUUUUUUUGAGCCUGAAUAAUUUUUUUUCAUAAAACAAAAUCCCGACUAAGGUCACACCCAACACUGGGGGCAAGUGAAAUUUCAAUGAUCAAGAAAGAUGAUAAAGCCGUGAGAAAGCCAAAAGGCAAAAAGAGCCCAAGAAACUCAAAUGCUAGGGGGCAUGCCUAAAUAAAAAAAAAUUAAUAACUAAGAUAAAGUGAGUAUGCUCUAGCAAAGCAAUGAAAAAGAAAAAAAUAAGUAGCAAAUUGACACGACUAAAAGCUUGAUGUCUUUUCCCAAGUGCAGGAGUGUCGAAGUAAUAAAUAGCCCGGCAAGACCGGGGUCGAACCAUAGAGAGGUUAAUUGUAUAAAUUAUAAAUAACAAGACAACAACAACAACAAUAAUAAUAAUACUCAAUACGUGGCGUUGUUAUACCUGAGAAUGAUCUAAAGAUCGGGUCACAGGUUUCCAGCCUAUAUACUGAGUUUAUGAAAAGAUCAAAUAUAUAUAUUAUAUAAUAUAAACAGAAUGUAAAUAAUAAUAAUAAUAAUAAUAAUAAUAAUGAAAGCAGAAGAUGAAGAAAUUAAUGAGAACUUUGAGAUGAAAGAUUAACGUAAGGAUUAAACAAUGAUAAAAACAAAUGUCAAGGUUAGAGGAUCCACUAAUGGUACUUCAAACAAGUAUAAUAUAAACUCUUAUUACUCAAUUGAAAACCACACAUAAAGGAGGUUCCAUUCAUAUUAUAAAUUGUUAACAUGAUUACGUUAGUUAUCUUAUUCGAAUAAAGCUAAUACUUGUAAAUGUUGGCAGGCAUUCAUGAUUAUAACUUAUGUUAACAACAAAUCAAGUUCCUUUCAUAGCUCAGGUGUCGGUUAUACCAUACAGUAUGAGCUAUGAAAGUGCCAAGUAUUUGUUGUACCAAGUGUUAUACAAUAUAAAUCUAGAUUAACCAUUUAAUCCAAUGUGCAACCCACAAUCAUAUGUUAAAGUGUGUGUGUGAAAAUGAAGGUUUAAUAAUACUUGUUAAAUGAGUAUAGGAGCAGAAUCAAGUGAUAACAAUGUGAGAGUUUGUAAACCUGAAUAUUUCAAGAAGUAUUAUGAUAGACCUUGGUAAUGAAACUUACUAAGAUGCGUCUCUAGAGUCAAUAAAAUUGAUUCCAUACUCUGCCAUCCUAAUAACAAUUUUGUCAAAUGGUUUUAAUAAUAGCAAAAACAAUUAGCAAGUUAGUAUUUUUUUUUUUAAACUACUACCCUCUCCCCCUAACCAAAACGAGACAUUGUCCUCAAUGUUCGAAGGUAGAAAGAUAGAGUAUAGAAGACAUCACCUGAAACAGCGAACAAUGACAAACCUGAAACACACUUAAAUAAACAUAAGAAGUAACAAAACAAAAUAAUAUGCUAUUAAUAAAACCAAAAGACACAAGGUUUCACAGAUGAAGGCUCAAAUCUAAUCUAAGCUUUUUACGGCUUUCCUUAGUUGACCAAUCUAGGCGACUCAUGCAGGGAUCAAUGACAGGGAUGAAAGAUUGUAGUUGGUCAAUCAAUUGUUCAGCAGUAGCAGCAGAGAUUAUGAUUUGUCGUGCCGAAGAUGUUAGAAAUUCCUGUUCCACAGCUUGAUCAAGGAAAGACAGCAACUUAUCAUAAAAACCAUUAACAUUUAACAAACCUAUAGGUUUAUGGUGAAUGUGCAGUUGGGCCCAAGAUGAAAUAUGAAAGAUCUCUUCCAAUGUGCCCAGACCACCUGGUAAGGCAAUGAAGGCAUCAGCAUGGUUAAACAUGGUAUUCAGUCGGUCAGACAUUGUUGGGACCUGUAGUUCUUCUCCAAUUGUUUUUCCAAUGAUGUCCCCAUUUGCUAAAGCUUUGGGGACAACCCCCAAAACUUGACUGCCUCCCAAAAAUGCAGCCAUUGACACACCUCCCAUUAACCCAAGGCUACCUCCCCCAUACACUAAAUGAAUCUUUCUCUCAGCUAGUACCCGACCAAGAUGAUUUGCUGAUUCUAAAAACUCUUUUUCUUUCCCAGAACUGGAUCCACCGAAAACACAAAUAUUUCUUAUAUGAUGACUUGAGGAACCUGCCAUUUCUACACACUUCUAUAUUUGAUGAAUAUAUGGGAUGAGUAGAAAUGAAGGGAAGGAAGAGAAGAAUUUAUAGAUGAAAAAGUGAAAAUGCAAUCAUACCACCUAUAUGUAGGCCAGCUGUAGUCUCACAAACUCUCUCUCUCUCUCUCUCUUUAUUAAUUAUUUAUUUUGAAAAAGCAUGUAUGUACAGGUAGUUGUGAUUGUGGCUCACAUCUUCCCUUGGUUUUACGUCCAAGAACGGCUUAAACGCCCUCUAUGGGUCGGGGAUAGGCUUCCCAUCCAGUUUUCUUAAAAACUGGCAAACAGGGUCUUUUUUAGUCAGAUUCCCAAGACUAAGUCGAUCAUGUUCUUUAUGGAAUUGUGGCCAUAAAUCAUGAAUUACACGAUGCACAUCUCCACUAGGAUGCGUCUCAAGGGUCAACAAAAGAUUAUCUAAAGACCCCUUACUCAGGCCAUCCUUAAUGAAUUGUAUCUUAUCUUCACGGUUUACAGAUACCAUUCCUAAAGAACGACAUGUUGCAUUACAAGUCCAUCUGGCACAUCUGUGACAGACUUUCAGUCGUUUUGCACGACGUUUCUUUGCAAAAGUGCUUUUACCUGUUCCAGGCAUGUGUGAAAUGAAAGAAUUGGAGGACUCACCUGAUAAUCGGACCUUUGCUUCAAUUAGCCAGCGAAUAUCUUCAGGAAUUCCAUGAUUCAUUAACAACCGUAAUCUUUCACACCUAGCACGAUAAAUUUUAUUAAUCGCAUUUGGAGGCAAAGCGGGAAAAUACCUUUUCAACUUUUCAAGAGUGGUGUCCAUUUUCAAAAGAGAAUUGGAGAAGAGAUUCAAAGAAGGGAGAAAGAGCUAAGAAUUGUACAAAUAUAUACAGAUAUCAGUUAUUUGGGAAACUGAAAGAACCGACUUAAGUCACGGAGUACCGUUAUCCGCCAUUUGACCGGGGUGAAAGAGAGACUAGCAAAACAAUAAAUACAACAAAACACAAAACAAUGUGAGAAAAACAAAAUAAUCAACCUUUAUCUACAAGAUCAUUCAAACCAAUGGAUUCAUUUUCACUAGGAAACUCAUCAAAGUAAGCUUUCAAACGAUGUCUAUUUACCUUCAAAACAUUGUCAUUCUUUGGAUUCUCAAUAUCAAGGGCCCCAUAAGGAUACACAUGUUUCAAAAUAAAUGGACUGCUCCAUUGUGAUCUUAUUUUUUCAGGAAAUAAAUGGAGUCGAGAAUUAUAAGGCAAAACGUUUUGACCAGUAUCAACUUUUUGACAAUUUUCACAAGUUUUGCAGAAUGCAUGUGUGUCCUUGAACAUGGUGGGCCAAUAGAAUCCAGAUUGUAAGAUUUUUGCAAUCGUCCUUUUUGACGAUAAAUGACUCCCACAUGCCUCAGAAUGACAAAGUUUAAUGACACCACUUACCUCAUUGUCGGGAAUGCAUUUUUGAAAUAAUUGAUCAGGACAAUUUUUGAAUAAGUAAGGGUCAUCCAAAUAAAAGAGUUCUUCACUUGUUCAAAAACUUUCCUUUGUCUUCGAUACUCCAGUGAGCUGGCAAAUCUCCUGUUGCAAGAAAAUUGAUAUUUUUAGCAGACCAAGGCAUUGAACAAUGAGAAAGUAAGGAUUCGUCAGGAGAGUAAGCAUCGAUUGGUGGGAUGUCAGAUGUCAAAUCUGUUGUCACUCUUGACAAAAGAUCGGCAUCAAUAUUUUUGGUGCCUUUUUCAUCCGUGAUUUCUUCCUGAGAAUAAAUCAUUUUCAAAUCUUCAGAUUUAUCCAACUCAAUUUUACUCAAAGUAGAUUCAAGUUGAUCAUGAACUAAUUCUUCAAUAAGAUCUACUUCUUGUAAAUCAUUAUCAUCUCCAGGUUGCUUGCAAAUGUUGAAAAUAUUCAUCUCCAAUGUCAUGUUUCCAAAUGAUAGCUUCAUCAGUCCAUUCCUACAAUUAAUCAAUGCAUUAGAAGUUGCAAGAAACGGACGUCCUAAAAUAAUAGGAAAUGAAUUACAUGCUUCAACAGGUUGCGUGUCCAAGACAAUAAAAUCCACAGGAUAAAUGAAUUUAUCGACUUGUACUAACACAUCUUCAAUUAUUCCUCUAGGCACUUUUACAGAUCUAUCGGCAAGUAAAAGAGUUACAGAGGUUGGUUUUAACUCACCUAGAUUGAGACUCUGAAAAACUGAAUAUGGAAGUAAAUUCACACUAGCUCCAAGAUCAAGUAAGGCUCUUUCAAUUUUAUGUUCUCCAAUAAAGCAAGAAAUUGUAGGACAACCAGGGUCUUUAUAUUUCAAAGCAUUAUUGUUCUGAAGAAUGGCACUUACUUGUUCGGCUAAAAAGGCUUUCUUUUUCACAUUCAGUUUUCUCUUCACAGUGCACAGAUCUUUCAAAAAUUUAGCAUAGGAAGGAACCUGUUUAAUAGCAUCCAACAAAGGUAUAUUGAUCCUUACCUGUUUGAAAAUUUCAAAGAUUUCAGAGUUGUGAUUGACUUUCCUUUGUUUGGUCAUGGCAUGAGGAAAUGGAAGUGCUGGCGGGGAAUCAGCCUUUUCUUUGCAAUGUUCAGGUUCAACCCCUUCCUUACCCUCAGAGAUAGACUCAUCAUCUUUCUCACAAGGUUCAAGAAUAGGUUUUUCAAUAACCUUACCACUACGAAGAGUGAUGACUGAUUUGACUUGAUCCAUGUGUUGGCUUCCAGAACUACUUGCAUUUGCAUUGUAUUGCCCCUUUGGAUUUUGCUGUGGUUGAGAAGGAAACUUACCUUUCUCUUGGAAACUGAGAGCAGAUGUUAAUUUUGCAAGAGCAUCUUUAAAAUCGGUCAUGCUUUGAGCAAGUUGAGUGUUGAUUGUCUCCUGCUUUUCAAUGAAUGCAUGCAAUGUUUCCUCAAAUUUCUUCUAGGAGGUGGAGCAUAAGGAGGUGCAUAUCCAUGAGAAUUUUGGAAAUUAUGGUGUGCUUGAAACGGUGGUGUGAAGUUUGUGCAUUGUUGCUAUCACUCUUCCAACUAAAAUUUGGGUGAUUUCUCCAACCAGGUUAUAUGUUUGUGAGUAUGGGUUAUGGUUGGGUCUUUGGAAACUGUUUAAAGCAUGGGCUUGUUCAUGGAGGCAUUCCUUGAAAGAAGGCAAAGUUGGACAAUCUUUGUUGUGCUCAUUUGUUUCACAGAUUUGACACACAAUGUCUUGAACAGAUUUUAAUUGACCACUCUUUUUAAUUCUAGUGCCUCGACUUUUCUAGCUAAAGAUGCAAACUUGGCUUGGAGGUCAUGAUCUUCCCUAAGGUUGUGCAUACCUCCACUAGAUGUAUGAGGUUGAGUUUUACUUGGUGCCUCAUAAGUACCUGUGGUGUCCCAAUUUUGAGCAUUUUCGGCUAGCAAGUCUAGGUACUCCAUUGCUUCAUUAGGGUCUUUAUCUUCAAAGGUUCCAUUGCACAUCAAUUCAACCAUUUGCCUAUCUCUAGGUGUUAAACCUUCAUAAAAAUGUGAAACCAAUCUCCAUGUUUCAAAACCAUGAUGUGGGCAAGUAUUAAGCAAAUCUCGAUACCUAUCCCAACAUUGGUAAAAUGUUUCUCCUGGCUUUUGAGUGAAAGUGAUGAUUUGUCUUUUGAAAGAGUUUGUUCUGUGAGAUGGAAAAAACUUCUUUAAAAAUUGUUGUUGCAUAUCAUCCCAAGCACGAAUGGAUCCUGGUCUCAAAUUUUGUAGCCAUGUUUUAGCUUUAUCUUUUAAUGAAAAAGGAAAAAGCUUUAAUCGAAUGGUGUUCAUGCUACAAUUUGAGUCAUUAUAGGUAUUACAGACCUCCUCAAAUUCCCUUAAAUGCAAGUAUGGAUUUUCUAAGUCUAAGCCAUGAAAAGAUGGUAAAAGUUGAAUAAUGCCUGGCUUAAAAUUAAAAUGAGAUGCAUCAGGAGGGAAAACUAUGCAUGAGGGUGCACUUGUUCUUGUGGGAUUCAUGUGGUCUCUAAGUGUUCUCAUACGGUUAUUCUCAUUAUUCUCAUUAUGAAGUGAUUGAUUAUCUUCUUCGGCCAUAUUUUCUGAAAAUGAUGAGGAUACCCUACAAAGUCUACCACUUAAUGUACGUGACCAAACUCUCAUGCACGUGUAAGAAGAGAAUAAAAGCAAGAAAAGAAAAUAGAAGAAAAAGAAACAAAACAAAACAAAGGAAACAAAAAUAGAUAAAAUGAAAAGUGAAAAGAGAAAAUAAAUUAAAUAUUAUAAUUUAUACAAGAAUUUACCUCCCCGGCAACGGCGCCAAAAACUUGACACGACCAAAAGCUUGAUGUCUUUUCCCAAGUGCAGGAGUGUCGAAGUAAUAAAUAACCCGGCAAGACCGGGGUCGAACCACAGAGAGGUUAAUUGUAUAAAUUAUAAAUAACAAGACAACAACAACAACAACAACAACAAACAACAAUAAAUAACAAUAUAAUAAUACUCAGUACGUGGCGUUGUUAUACCUGAGAAUGAUCUAAAGAUCGGGUCACAGGUUUCCAGCCUAUAUACUGACUUUAUGAAAAGAUCAAAUAUAUAUAUUAUAUAAUAUAAACAGAAUGUAAAUAAUAAUAAUAAUAUAUAAUAAUAAUAAUAACAGAAGAUGAAGAAAUUAAUGAGAACUUUGAGAUAAAAGAUUAACGUAAGGAUUAAACAAUGAUAAAAACAAAUGUCAAGGUUAGAGGAUCCACUAAUGGUACUUCAAACAAGUAUAAUAUAAACUCUUAUUACUCAAUUGGAAACCACACAUAAAGGAGGUUCCAAUCAGAUUAUAAAUUGUUAACAUGAUUACAUUAAUUAUCUUAUUCGAAUAAAGCUAAUACUUGUAAAUGUUGGCAGGCAUUCAUGAUUAUAACUUAUGUUAACAACAAAUCAAGUUCCUUUCAUAGCUCAGGUGUCGGUUAAACCAUACAGUAUGGGCUAUGAAAGUGCCAAGUAUUUGUUGUACCAAGUGUUAUACAACAUAAAUCUAGAUUAACCAUUUAACAAGCAAAGUAUUAAAGUGAACAAGAUAACAAAUAUAAAACAUGUUAGUAUCCAACGUUAAGGUCCAUGUUAAGUUUAUAUUAUACUUGUUCUUACACCAUUAGUGUACCCUUUUCACCUUGACAUAAUUAACUUAGCUAGACAUAAUAAAAGAAAGAAACAUAAAUGAGCAAGACAAGAACAUAAAUGAGAAAGAAGUUAACUAGACAAAGGAAAGGAAAUGAAGUGCAUAAACUUGAUAUUAAUGAAAGCAAGACAUAAGCAAUACAAAGAGAGAAAGCAAGAGCAUGAUCUUGAUCUGAACACCAAGAUGCCUCAAUACAUGGUAAGUGCCUCCUUUUAUAGGCCAAAAUUUGGAACUAUUGAUUUGUUGACUAAUUGAUGAGUGGGUGGCCACAUCUUGACUAGAUAACAAUCCUUAUCUUCUUGUCUGAUCAAGACGUCAUUGCUAACAUCAUAAUUUGCCCAGAAUCCUCAAGAAUGUUCUAGGAAAUUGUCUCAGCUUUCCAACAAAAAAAAGAUGAGGUCAUUUGGACUUCUAGAACUCAAGAUAUGGGCUGAACACUAAAUAGUGUUUGGGCUAUAGGACAGCUUCGGACUUCUUCGUUGUUCCUUUCAUUUGGACUUCAAAAAGACCUUUUCAAAUCUUGGGCUCCUCAUGAAAGUUGUAGGCCUUUGUCUUACCUUUCCAUCCAUAUAAAGUGGACCUAAAUCAGAAAUCUAGAGCUCCAGAUAUGAUCCAAUUACUGAGCAAUGUUCCGGUUUGGACUGCACCGACAUCUCUUUUCUAAGUUUGGUCAUCUCUUUGUCCUUUAACUUUCAAUGCUUAAACUCAUCAAUCAAUCCUUUUAUUUAUGUGAUAGUCCUGCAUUUAAAAUGAGUAUUUACCAUAAAUUAAGGUAUCUUAUAAUAUCAAACUUGUUAUUAUAAAACAUGCUUUAGUUAAGGAGUUAUUGAUACUUCAAGUGCAAAAUGAUGAUAUAAAACCUUGAUAAACAUGCACUUUUAAGUACUAAUCACAAAUCAAAAAAGAGUGGCAAAAGAAAAUAUGAAUGACAUCAAUAGUCAAACUUUUGAUAGUGAUCCUCGGUCUUUGAAGCCCUGAAACACUCUUUAAGCCUUAUGAAUCAUUUUCUUUCAUAGCCAAAAACCACAGCCUACGUUACGUGCCUGUAGAAGUCCUUUCUAAUCAAGCAAGCAAGCAAUCUAGAACAAUAAACAAUGCUCUCAAAAUGCAAAGAAUACGUUUUCAUAAGAUUCAUGACAUCAAGAAUAAACUACUCAUUAUUAUUCAUGCUAAUAAAAAUAAAUGUUCAAAAAGAGACAAGUUUUUCUCAUACAAAACCUCGAGCUUUUUCUCGAGCCCUCCACUCUGAAAACUUAUAAAAACAAAAGGUCAUAAUAUCAUGACAUAUUUUCACCAAAGACCUCAUUGCCAAACACAAGAGCAAAUAAUCUCUUUUCCAAGAAAGAAAAUAACCAAGGAGUUGCAAGAUUUCAAAAGCAAAUUGUUAUUGGACUCACAUCAAAAUAAUUUUUGUUUUCAAAAUGCAAGAUCAAGAUUUCAAGAUUCAUUCUAGACCCAUAUUCCUCCACCAAACUGAAAAGGAGAUAAAUGAGAGAAUGGCCUCUUAAAACCUUUAUUUGUCUAAGUCGCUGACAGAAGCACACUUAAGGCCAAUAACCAAUACAAGGGGGAAACAUUGUGUUUAGAAGGAAAAAUUCUAGAAAAGGAGAUGGCAAUUUCCUACAACCAGACAAGGGGGCAUUUUGGUUUACAAAAGACAGCUCGAUCCUUUCAGUAAGUGACAUCGAAUGUUUGUAGCAGUGAAACGAGGAGUAAUGAGUGGUCAUCUCAAAUUAUUUGACGAAUCAGAAAAUCUUUAGCAAGCAAGUGGGUCACAAUGGGCACCACAAAUGCUGAAUUAUACAAACAAAUUUGAAAAUAGAUUUUACAUGGGCUAACUCGAGUGGGCUAGAAAGCUAAACGACAAAGAUAACUUAAAUCAGAUAGCAAGAUCUCACCAACCAAUCAACAAGAAGAUUGUGAAGAAAUGGGGGUCUAUAUUUCAAAUCAGGUAAAGAUAUAUGCAUAUCAUCUAAACUUUGAGAUAUUGGACAAUGAGUUUUUCAAAUUUCAUAUAAGAAAAUUCCAACGGAAUCUAUCAAGUGGAAGGCCAACUUGAAAUGGCCAAAGAUCGAAAUUGCUGUUGAAAAUUUUCACUUUUGAGAAUUUUUCAACCUGGGCAGGCCGCCCAUGAGAAUUAGGCCACCUGAAAAAUCUCUCUAUUAUUCCACCACCUUUCAGUUUCCACUCCUAAGGUAGUUCAUUUCCUAUCCUACCUCCUUUUGAGUUCUUUUCGAGCGCGCCUUCGAGCCCUCGACCAUCAUAGGUAGUGCAUUUCCUAUCCUACCUCCAUUUGAGCGCGCCUUCGAGCCCUCGACCAUCAUAGGUAGUGCAUUUCCUAUCCUAUCUCCAUUCGAGCGCACCUUUGAGCCCUCGUCUUAUCUCCAUUCGAGCGCGCCUUUGAGCCCUCGACCAUCAAAGGUAGUGCAUUUCCUAUCCUACCUCUGUUCGAGCGCGUCUUCAAGCCCUCGUCUUAUCUCCAUUCGAGCGUGCCUUUGAGCCCUCAUCUUAUUUCUUUUCGAGCGCGCCUUCGAGCCCUCAUCUUAUUUCUUUUCGAGCGCGCCUUCGAGCCCUCAACCAUCAAAGGUAGUGCAUUUCCUAUCAUACCUUCUUUUGAGUGCGCCUUCAAGCCCUCAUUUCCUUCAAGCUUCCAUCUAUUGAAUAAUGCGCCUUCGAGCCCUAUCAUGUCUUAUUUAAAAAAAAAAGUCCUCGUAUUUUUCCACUGGGCAGGUAACCCAUUACAAUGUGACCAACUGGGCCGGUAACCCAUUACAAUGUGACCAUCUGGGCUGGUAACCCAUUACAAUGUACCAUCCUGAAAAAUCCUCGUAUUUUUCCACUAGGCAGGUAACCCAUUACAAUGUGACCAACUAGGCCGGUAACUCAUUACAAUAAAUCAUCCUAUAUUAGGCUGGUAACCCAUUACAAUAUACCACCUUAUACUGGGCAGGUAACCCAUUACAAUAUACCAUCACAAAAAAAAAAAUUCCUCGUAUUUUUAUUCUUCAUCGAGCAGGUCACCUGGAACAAUUAGACCACUCAUGAAAUUCUUCACGUUUCUUUUAUCAUUGGGCAGGUUGCCCAAAACAAUUUGAUCCAUUUCAAAAAAAAAAAAACAAAAAAAAUAGUUCGUCUCCCAAAUGACUUGUUUCUUGAUUUCUACAUCUCUCUGUAAAGGUCAUGUGUCAAUCUACUGUUUUCAAAACUAAAAAAUAAAAAAAAGAAGCAAAAGUUCUUUCUUUAUCUAAUUUUCUUUAUAAAUUUACUACACAAAGCUAAAAGAAAAUGAAAUUUUCUAAUAUCGUUGCAUAGUAAAUAUUAUAAAGAGGGGGCAACUGUCAUAACCCAAUUUUGACCUUUUUUAUUUAUUUUUUAUUUUUUAUUUUUUUAUUAUUUUAUUUUUAAAAAAUGAUGAAAAACAAGUAAAAAUAAAAUAAAUGAAGAGUGAAUUAAAAUUUGGGUUAAGGACAACACGAUUGGAAGUUUAAAAAUUUAAUUAAACUCUUGACUAGUUUAAUUAAUUAAAUCAAGGGCUUAAUUGGAGAAUUGAUUUAAUUAAAAUUUAGAUGAUUUUUAACUAAUGAAAUCAAGAGUUUAAUUGAAGAAUUAAUGAGUUUGAGGACUUAAUUAAACUUUGAUUUAAUUAAUUAAAGGAAUCAGGGGUGUAAUUGAAGAAAUACCAAAGUUUGGAGCUGAUUCAAGGAAAAAUUGCUAUAAAAUUAAAGUCCAAGGACCAAAUUGAAUAGUCCAAAAACCCAGGACUGUUGUGUAAAUGACACUAUAAAUCAAGGAUUCAAUUGAAUUAAUCCAAGGGUACAAAUAGAAAUUGAUUAUUGAUGAUUAAGAUCUCAAUUGUGAAGUUUAAAACGUCCAGGGACCAAAGUGAAAAAAUACCUCAAGCACACAAACGACGCCGUUUGCAAUAAUACUGUUCGUCAUCCCUUCCAUUUCGCCAGGGCAGCCGAUUCAACAGGAAAAUCAGUGCAUCCGAUUCAACAGGCCAUGUCUUCUGCCACGAUCCCGGUCGUGAAGGAGACGGUUUUUGAAGAUCUCUAGCCUUAUAAAAAAGGGGUGAAGAAACAGAACGCAGAGGGGGGGACGAGGAUCUGGAGCUAAAAAAAACAGAGCAGAAAUACAGAGUAAAAAAAAAAACACAAAUUCACAGGGAGAGGAGGAGAGUCAGCAACAGAGGAGAAAAAAAAAGGAAGAAAAACUGGAAAACUGGUGGAAAAAAGACCAGGAGACAGAGGACGAGAAAAAAAACUGGGAAAGGAAGAACUGCGAAAAAUCAAGGAGCAGAAACAGAGACCGAAACCAGAGGGAACAAUAGCCGAAAACCAGAGACAAAACGGAGAGGCAGAUAACAAAACAGGGAGAACGAACAAGAGGGAAACACACAGUGAGGAGAAUUAUCCUUGAAAUUGUCCUCGUACCUGCAAACAAAGAAAAAAACCGGCAUCUUCUUUGUAGUUUGAAAAGCUACUGAGAAAUCAAGAAGGAAAGCACAGACAAGGGAUCACAGCGGGGAGAGAAUAGAAAGCAGUCGAACGAGAGCAGCAGCCACCAGCAUCGCAGCCUUCUUCAUCGUCUCCAGAAGCAGGUAUGACUUCAUCCCCUUCGUAUCUUCAUUUCAAAAUGCAAUUGUUAAUGUUACAAGAACACUGUGUGAAGGUAAUUUAAUUAAUUACCUUCACACAUUGUUCGUGCAUGCGUGAACAAUUCACGCGUGUUUUUAUUUUUUUGGCCCAGUCGGUCACUGGCUUGGGCUAGUGACUGGGCUGGGCUGGCUGGGUCUAGCCCAGCCCAAAAUAUAAAUAAAAUAAUAUAUAAUAAAAAUUGUGUAUGUAAAAAAAAAAUAUAUGAAUUUAUUGUUUUUUUUUAUUCAUUGAUGUCAGAGUCACAAUAAAAAUACCAAUUCAAAUUUAUUUCAUUGUGUUUUAUUAAGUUAUAUAAGAAUAAAAAAUGUGCGUGCAAAAAAAAUAAUAUAAGAUAAAAUAAAAUAAAUUUAUUUGGUAUAUUCACUGACGCCAGAGUUAGGAAUAAAAAAUACUAAUGUAAAUUUAUUUUAUUUUAUUUUUUGUUUUGUUUUUAUUUAGCUACAUUAAAAAAUAAAAAUAAUACGUAUGCGUACAAAAUAAAUUGAUUUUUUAUUUGUUUAUUCACUGACGCCAGAGUCAGGAAUAUAAAAAAUAAUGAUUUAAAUUUAUUUAUUUUGAUACCUAUGUAAUAUUUACCAACACUAGAGUCGGAAAUAUCCGUAGUUGAAUAAAAAUAAUGCGUAUGUGUAAAAAAAUUUAAUUUUUAUUUGUUUAUUCACUAACGCCAGAGUCAGGAAUAUAAAAAAUAAAUGAUGAUUUAAAUUUAUUUAUUUUGAUACCUACGUAAUAUUUACCAACGCUAGAGUUGGAAAUAUCCGUAAUCGAAUAUUCACUGGCGCUAGAGUCAGGAAUAUUAUAAGCAAAUUAUCAUAUCGUAAACUAAUAAACAUUUAACAAUUUAAGACGAAACUAGCAAUGCAGCCUGCCUCAGGCAGAACGUUUAAGGGGUGAUAAUAUCUUCCCUUUUACGUAACCAAUCCCGAACCAUAGAAUCUCUGUUAACCAGUUAAGGUUCCUAGUGACCAUAAUACUAGGUGGCGACUCCUUAAACAAGAAUAUCCCCCAUCAAAGAAUAGGAUGCCAGAAAUCCAUUCUUUUCCAAAAAAUUUAAUUAUUUUUAAGGCCGUCGCAAUGUCGGAUGCGACAAACAGGAACUAAAUGAAAGGAGGGACAACGUUUAGGAGUAUGCCCUUGAGUGCCACAUAUCUGGCAAUGGCCCAAAUAAGGACGUGUAGGCAAACAACUAUUUCUGACCUGAUUGGGAAACGUGGCAGGUCGAAAGUUGGCGAUGGAUGGGGAAUGAAAAUUGUUCCCAAUAGGAGAAGAGGAUGGGCGCCAGUUGGUUUUUAAGGGUCGUCAAUUAUUGUUGCUUGAGUUCUUAGUGAAGGAGUUGGCAGUAAUAGUACCAAGACGGGAGAAGUGUGACCGUGUUUAAAGUGAUGCUUCAAACAAGAGAAGCUUCUCAUGUAGUUCAUCAAAGGAGAUAGCAGCUUUGCGAGCUUGGACAGCCCGAACAAGUUCUAUGUAAUCUUCAUCUAAACCGUUGAGAAUUUGUUCAGUAAGAUCAUCAGUGUCCAUGGAAGCACCAAGAACAACAAGUUCGUCAGAUAGUGCUUUGAUGAAGCAGACAAAAUCUGUGAUACUCAUAGAACCUUUUGUGAGAUUAUUUAACUGGUUUUCACCUGGCGGAUACGUCCAUGGGAUGGUUUUGCAUAUGUUGUGGCAAGAACAUGCCAUGCAUCAUGAGAAGAAGUGGUGCGGGCUACCAAGGAGAUAAGUGAAGGAGAAAGGCUGCCAACGAUGGCAUUCAAAAGGAGUUGAUCUUGCCUAACCCAGAGACUAUAUGCAGGCUUAGGAACAGUGAUAUCAUCUGUUAUAAGAGUUGGUGAAGGACACAAUUUUGAGCCAUCUAUGUAACCAAGGAGAUCAUAGCCAAUAAAAAGUGUUUCAAACUGAAUUUUCCAGGAAGCAUAGUUGGAAGAGGUGAGUUUGAGAGGAGCUUGAGCAGCUGUGUUUAUGGUGAUAAGGUGGUUUUCUGUGUUUGAUGGAAUUGAAACCGACAUGGUUAUGGGGAAGAGGGAGGAACAGAACCGAAGAAGAAAGGGAAGAAAAAAAAAAUUGAAUAAAUGAUCAGAGACGCUCUGAUACCAUGAUGGAGCUGAAGCUUUGAAAGAGAAUUGCUUACUGAUAUUAUUAAUAGAAGACAUAUAUAUAAAUACAAAUCCUAACUGAUUUCUAUACUUUGCAGGGAGACCAAUUCUUUAAGAUUACAAACUAUUGCAGCUACCGAGUCCUAAUGAAUAACAAACUGUUAGAGCUAUACAUUGAAUUAUCAUUAACACAGUUCUUAAAAAAGAAGCAAAGAUGGGGUUUGUGAGGGUCUACACAAAACCACAGCACUGUGGCGUUGGUCAUGCUCUACAAGAUGAGGUUGCGGUCUAUUUCUCCUCAGACAUACUCAGCAAUUUCUUGAAGAUUUAAACCUGGAAUACUUUUAGCACUUGAUCUUGCAUCAGGAGAAUGGGUUGGGUAAAUCAACAGAGCAUGCCAUGAUAUAGCUCCAACAGCCAACCAUUAAAAAGUCCAAGUGGUUAGAACUUUGUGGCUUUCGCGUCUCCUAGAACAACUGUUGCUGUCAAAAACCAGGGAAAUGAAAACACAUUCCAAGAUCCUCAUAAUGUUUGAGGUCAUGGGUGACAGUGCAGUGCUGGUAUAUGAAAACUGAUUCAAUUGCAUCCAUCAUUAAUCGAAAUCAUGAACAGAUUGCGUAUUUUGAUUCAGGAUAACGAGACUUUCAAACCAAGAUCUCAAAGUAAUUGUUUUUUUUUUUAUGAAAAGAAAGAGUCUCAUAGGUAGGCAGUCAAAGUUGUUGGCUACUAUAGAAAAUUUUACGAUUUCCACUUUUGUUAUUGAAUUUUAAUUCUAUCUUUUAAUUUGAUAAUUUUCAAUCAAAACUAAUUUUUAAAUUUCUAAUUUUGAUGAUUAUUAUAUUUUAUUUUUACAAUAAAAAUAUUUAUAUUAAUUUAUUGUGAAAAUUUAAUAAAAUCAAUUCAAUUUUUAAUUAAAAUGAAAUAUAUUCACAUUAUAAAACCCUCUCAAUUAUAUUUUAAAGACAUGCCUAUUUAUUUUUUAUUACAAGUGAACUUAUCCUGUGAGGAUAUAUAUAGAAACAAAAAAAAAAUUACCAAUCAAAUUUCACCAUGUGUUAUUUUUAUUUUUACAUAAAAAGAUGAAAUAAAAUAGAUAAAAUAACAUGAAAAAAAUGGACCUUUACAUAUAUUUUGGUCAAUAGAAAAUUGACACAUAAAAUAAGAUAUUUAAUACAUCUUAUUAUAAAUAUAAGAUUUUAUAAAUAAAAAUUAAUUAAUAAAAUAAUAUCAUAUUACAUUUUUUAAUAUGAAAGCCCUUGUAAAUAUUUAUAAAUAAAAGAUCUCAUGCUAGACAAAGAAAGGAGGAAGAUUACUAGAGAUACAAAACUAUUUCAUGAUAAGCUUUUCAAGAAAAAAGAAAAAAGAAAAAAAGAGAACUAUUUCAAAAGCUUUGGAGCUUUUUUUCAUUUUACGGUUGAAAUCUAAAAAAGCAAACCUCUACUUAAUGAAGCCUAAAAUAAUACAAGUUCUAGACCUUUGCAAAACACCACCAAGCGAAAUUGCCAGUACUGCAUUUACCAUGGAAAGCACAAUAAUAAUCAUCCUUUGAUUGGAUAUCAUCAUCAUUUCCUUCCUCUUCAUGCAACCAUUGGACACCAAUCGUCCUUAUUUGAAAAGCUGGAUCUUGUAGACGCACUGAAAUACUCACGUCAUCACCAUUAUCAAAUGCAGGACCAUCGACCCCUAAUUUCAUGUGCAUUAGCGAUUGGAAUUCACGAACACCACGCUUGUAACUCAUAGGGAAGAAAGAGGCUUGACGACGCAAGGAUCGACCACUGGUAUUGUUUCUGAUUUCAAGAUAAACAUGACUAGAGUCACUGUACCCUGACGUCAUACAAAACCUUGAGAACAGAAUAAAGCCACAUAUCCGGUGCGCAGGAGGUGAGGAUAUUUUGAAUGAAAAGUUAUCUACAAACUCAUUCUGAAUUAGCCAUUUAUCCUCUUCUUCCUCCUCGUAAAACCUUGUGAACAGAUUUGCAAGUCUUUGCAGUGAAGAGCAAAAAGACACAUCUAACGAACACAAAUGGGAUGGAAGCUCUGGGAGUGUCUGAAGCAUUUUGCAAUUUCUUAAAUAUAGGUGUCUGAGUAGACCAAGAUCCUUGAUGCUUUCUGGAAGAAAACGAAUUGGAGUUCCACUUAAAUCUAGACUCUCCAAGAAGCGUGGCAUUGAAAACGAGGUAAAUCUCAACAUUUUCCUCGUUGAAAACCUAGAGGGAAAGAAUAGCUUCAAUGGAAGAGAUGAAAUGAAUGAUGUAAUUGCAACAAUUCCAUCACUUUGAAGCAACUUGCGCCCCUGAUGAUGCUCUAACUCCAUAUUUAGGCUAUUAAGAUUUGAGCAACCAUCUAAAACCAGCUCUUGAAGUGAAUUCAAUCUACUCAUUUCUUCUGGAAGCUCCAUAAGACUUGUACAAUUUCUUAGAUUUAAGAUCAACAAUCUUUGUAAAUCACCAAUAGAUUCGUGAAUUUGAACCAAACGGAUGCAGUCUUCAAGUAUUAGCUUUUCAAGGGCUGGGAGACUCGAGAAGUCUGGGGUUCUAAUGAGAUCACGAGCAUGACGGAGAUCAAGAAUUUUCAAUUUUGGAAGAAACUGUUAAAAUACAUGAAUUUAGUUGUUAUCAAUUGAAAACGAGAGAGAUAGCUAUAGAGAGACUUGAUACAUACCGUUUGCCUUUCCAAGCAUCAACUAGACAGCUUCUGGAUAGAUCAAGAACCACCAGCUUCUCCAAGCAUAUGUGAUUUGGUAUGGAGCUCCAAGACAAUCCAUGCCAACAUAACCAUAUCAAAUUCUUGGGAAAGUGCUCAAAACUUCCAUGAAAAUUAGUGUAGUUUAGCUGGAGAAAUUUUACAUCUGGCAUCUUUCUAAAAGCAUCCGUGCUAAGGAUGGGAAACAAACUUGUUUGGCUAGUUUGUAAUUUUUCCCCAUCGGGAAAAUCGGAAAGCCAUUGUUGAAAGAAGUUAAGCCUGCGGCGCUUGCGACAAACCAUUGAAUCAGUACAGACAACUUCUGCAUAAUGAUAUUCCAUUAAUGAAUGCAUAUCAAUGGUAAGGCCACGCAUUUUUUCAGCAUCCUGCAUAAUAAUAUUAAAAGUACAUGAGAAAGGAAAGUAGAUGAAUGAAUAUGUCAAGGCACCACAAACCAUUUAAGUAGACAUUUAAAAAAAUUUAGCUACUUACAGUAGUUCCUUUCAAAACUGUAAAAGCAUCCCCAUGAUGCCAUAUUCUUUGCCAUUUGGGUGAUUCUUGACGAGCAAUUUCCCUACCCAUAUCUCUUACUAGUUGAUGCAUCCACAACCUUUGAUCACUGUUGAUUUCAACAAGACAUCUAUCGAUGAGAUUGUCAAUCCCAAAUCUUGCACCUUUAUCGAGCCCAUCCAGUAUCCUAACUGCAUCAUCCACAUCCAUUCCAUUGAAGAAACAUGCGAUAUCAAGGAAUAAGUUCUUGGAUAAUCACCAUCAAGAAAGUCGUAACUUAUUCGAAGAACCUUUUGAACUUCAAAUUAGGAACACUUCCAUUUGUUGUAAUGCGCUUUCCCAUAUUUCUCUUCCUUUUCCGGACAAUGAAGAGCCAAUAACUCCAAGAGCUAAUGGAAGUCCAUUACAAUGAUGUACUAUUCUCCAAGAGUCUUCUACAAAACCAUCAACAGGGUCAGCUUGUCCAAAGGCAUUCCAACUGAAAAGCUCAAGUGAUUUUUUGUUAUCCAAAGGUUCGACUUUGCACUCGAACCACUCAAUAUCAUUAGCUGAAAACAGACCCUUAUUUCUGGUUGUUACAAUGAUUUUACUUCCUUUACGAAGCCAAUUUUGCAUGCCAAUGAUUUUAUUGAAUUGGUCCCUUUUGUCCACAUCAUCUAGAACAAUAAGAGUUCUUCUGCAACAUAAUGCAUCCUUAAUCUUCAGAAUUCCUUCAUCUUCAUCAUUUAUCUCAUCAACAGUCUUUUUUAGGAUGUCGGAAAGAAGUUGCCUCUGUAGGCAAACUAUAUGUUUUGAUCUAAAAUUUGACAGGAAGCUCUUUCCUUCAAAUUCAUAAAAGUUCUGGUUAAAAACACUCUUAACUAUAGCUGUCUUUCCAACUCCACCAAUUCCAUAGAGUAAAGCAAUGGCAGCACCAUGGGAUCCAUCUUGCAACCAUGAGUUGAUAUCUUGUACCAGAGCAUCUCUUCCAAUGAAAUGAAGGGGGACAUGAAAUAUUUUUGGAUCCAAAUUCUUUGAGACAUACUCCACAAUAGAUUGGACAAACUGUGCCUCGUACCUACAUCAAAACGUAAAGUACAAUAUACGAUAAUUGCUAGUCUCUCUAUAAUGGAUAAAAAUAGACAACAUUUAGCUAAGAAAUUAAAGCAGGUUGCAUGUCAAUGAUUGAUAGUUAAAUUUGUAGGUGCGUUAUCACCACCUACUAAAACCAAAUCAUGUUUGAAAAAAAACAAACAAACAAACAAAAGAAGAAAGAAAUUAUAGGUAUUUUUUUCUUUCUUUUAUGUUUUCUUAUCGGUCUUCAUUUAAAUACUUAACUGAAAGAAAUUAAGAGUUCACGACCAGCACUCUAGUCUUAUGCUUUGUGUAUUUUAAUCGAGAGAUGCAACUUACCCAUCUCUUAAAUCCUUUCCAGCUAAAUCUGCAACUUCCUUCAAAGCAAUCCUCCACCCCUUCACCCGCUCUAUCUCCUCGAAGCGCUUUUCUUGUUCCACAAAUGCAGCAGCGAAGCUCCCUGUUUGAUUUCUGACUUCAGAUGGAUUCACAUGGUAGAAUACCGGCAAAACUAUGGAGGCGGCAGUCCUCUUAUGUUCCAUGAUCUUCACAAGUUCAUCGAGGCACCAUCUCGACCGAGCAUAGUCUUUGGAGAACACGAUUAUCGAUAUUUUCGAUUCUUGUAUUGCCUUCCGGAGCUCCAACUCUAUAUUCUCUCCUCUCCGAAUCUCAUCAUCAUCUCUAAAUGUGUGAAACCCCGCUUGAACCAGGGCCCAGUAGAGGUGAUCGGUAAAGUUCUUGCGGGUGUCUUCACCUCUAAAACUCAAGAACACUUGAUAUUUACAAUUAGAAAACCGAGAAGAGUAGGAUUCUUGAUAUUUCCCAGCAGCCAUUUCGAGUCUAGCAAAAUAAGACUUUACAAAGAUCUGGACAGAAAAAAAAAGGAAUUGCAGGAUUAAAGUCGAUAAUUCAAGAUCGACAGCACGCCAAUAAGCUGAAGUGUUCAUAUAUUAUUAUCUUACUUUUUUCUGGAAGACAAUUUUCAAGUUAUUUCCCAGCAAUCAACUCCUCCAUGCCCUUUCAGAAAAAUACUUGCAGAUAUGAUAAAUCUCUAUGCUGAACCAACAAAAUCGGUUGAUGAGAUCAUCAAUAAUUAGUUUCUAAUAGUGAAUUAAUCGAAGUGAUUCUCAGUUACAGCAGAGUUACAUUUCACAAUAUAACAUAAUACUUAAAAGAGAUAAGAGAGAGGGAGAGAGUACCUGCAAUCUUCACUUUCCCUUCGCUGAUGUUCUGUUAUCAGUCCAUCAACUUUCUGCUUUCAAGUCAACCUCACAAGUCUCUGGGGUCUGGGUCAUUUCCGCGUUAGGACCAUUUUCUUUUUUUAUUCUUUUUUUUUAUUUGCUCAAAUCAUUUAUCACGCGUGGAGUAUAAUUACCAAAAGCGACAUUAGAGACACUCACACAAACACAAUCCCUUUCAUUAACUCACACGGUUCUUCACUUCUUCUCACUUCACCCACCAGUAUCAUCAAGGCAGUUGGUCAGUUGGUCAGUUGAGUCUGAAAUAAAAAAAAAAAAAAUUUAGUGAUUUUAUAUUUGAAUUAUUAAUUACUAAUAUAAUAGCACUAAAAUUUUUAAUUAUUUUUAUUUCAGCAUAUUAAAGAAAAAAUAAAAAAAUAUUUUUUAAAAAUAUAUUAUUAAAACGAAAAACUAAACAAACUUUUAAACACGGAUAUAUUACAUAUCAUACACAGAGUUCUGAUUAUUUGAAUCAUUGGCAGAGGCAGGGAUGGCAGGAGGGGAAGUUGCUUGUUACAUCUUUGUGUAGAUUUCUUCCCCACGACUUUCCUGACCUUCUUGUUCUUUAGGAUUUUUCUUCCCACAUAUAUUAAGAGCACCCAUGGGUCGGGCCAAUCUUACAUUAAUUAACUAUAUAUAAUUAAUGUGUAUAAUUUCUUUUGCAGUGCUUUGUCUUACUUCCAGCGCAAUAUUCCUUUUUCUUUCUUUCUUUUGUGAAAUCCAACACAUCAAAUUAUGUUAAAUUAAAGUCAAUUUUGUAAGACAAUUUUGCAUCAUUUGAAUUGAUUCUAGCUUUUUCUUUCUGUUGAAAGUCAAGUGUAUAUAUAAACAAAGAAUUAGUCGGAAGUUGCUGAUUACAGGAUCAUUGCCCCGAAAUUUGCAAUAGCUUAGCCAUAACAAUUCAGAUUUUUCGGCCAAAUAUUAUAUCGAAAAAUUGAGGGGUAAAAAACCCAGACUCUACCCUUCGUAUUGUUUCUGAUUUCAAGAUAAACAAGACGAUAAGGAUUGCAUACUGACAUAGUAGAAAACCAUGUGAAUAGAUCAAAACCACAUAUCCGGUGCGCGGCGGGUGAGGAUAUUUUGAAUGACAAGUACGUACUCUACAAACUCUUUCUACAGUAGCCACUCCUGUUCUUCCUCCUCGUGAAACCACCUUAACAUCUCAUUUUCAUCAUUUUUCAAUAUGGUUCAAAUAAAAGAAGUUUAUUUAGUUAACCAAACAAAAAUAUAAGGGAGUUAUUAAAUUUUUUUUCUUUAUACCAUCUAAAUAUUUUACACAAAAAAUAAUACGUACCGGAACGUAGCGGGACCGGAACGUAGCGGGAGAAGCAUCCUAGCCAAAGCUAACUAAUGAUGUCCAUGAAGCUCUUACUUGGGUCUCGAAAACCAUUGCAAGCGACACCUUUUUGAAGCUCAGAAAAACAAACAGGCGGAAGUGAAAUGGUACGAAAUAACAGGGCAUUCAUGAUGAAUUAUGACCUUAGGUAAAGUUAAAGCUCUUUCUUUUUCCUUAGAAUUGACUAGUUGCAGUGUAUUCUCAUUAAAGCACGACAGAGGAAAGAUGAAUGGAGAAAUUAUCUCCAUUUCACACUGCUACUUUCUCGAGAACAAUCAUCUCCAGGAAGAAAAGUCUUUUCCGAGGAUCAAUCAGUCAAUUCCUUCAAAGAUUUGUAAUGGUUACAAGGAGAGACAGUAACAAUGUCGGUCGACGUAUCAGCUCGCUAGGAGGCUGAUCCCAGGAGCGGAUGGUUUACAUGAAGGGUGGCGGGGCAUGGCAUCCCAAAACUUUAGAAUUUCUUACAUUUUAGCCCUAAAAUUUUCAGCUUUUUAGUUAUACCCUUUAAUUUAACAUGUUUUGCUUCCAAAAGUGUCCCACCGAUCUAAUUGUCCACAGCAUAUCAACUGGUUCAUUCUGUCUGAGUAAUUAAUCCAGGAACCACUUUCAUGAUCAAAUGCAACAUGGAGGCAGGCAAAUGAAAAGAAUCGAGUCACGAGAGCAUAAAAUGUGAUGCGUUAGAGCUAGAUUAUAUAUCUCCACCGUAAUACAGGUAUACAACGAGAAAUUAUUGGAUGAACUAAAUUCACACAGAUCAAACCAGUUGCAGAAGUUCACUGCACAACCGCUAAUAAUCAAGGAUUCAUAACAUUAAUUCACUAUUUUGAUUUACAUAAUGUUUACGAGUUUUAUGAAUAAAAAGAUUCAUCAUAAACAUUUGUUCAACGAAGAUUCCACCCUUUAGACAUCCCUCGUCACUAUACAAAAAUUUCCUAUAUAUGUAGCCCACUUAAUUUGUUCAAUUGCUGUCCAUUCAAAAAGAUAAUUUAGAAGAAAAUUAUAAAAAAAACAAAAACAAAAAAAACCAUGCGAAGAAAUAUUAUGACAAUCAAUAAUGUUUUAUAAAAAAAUUAUAAAAAUAAAUUCUCAAUCAACUCAAUAUAAAAAUAAAAAAAUUUGGCAAAUAUAAUUUUAAAAAAUAAAAUAGAAAAAUUAUGUGAAAAAACACCGUAGCAAUCCACAGUAUUUUAAAGGAAAAAAAUUACAAAGCAAAAUUUUUAACUAACUCAAUAUUUAAAAAGUAAAAUCAACAAAGAUAAUUCAAAAAAAAAUGAAAAAAAAAGAAAAAAAAGGAAAGUUGGAAAGAGAAAAAAGGAAAGUAAUUUUGGAAAAAAAGGAAACAUUAAACAAAAAAAAAAGGAAAAAGGGAAAGUUGGGAAAAAAAUGCAAAAGAAAAAAAACAGAAAAAGUUAAAAAGAGAGAGAGAGCAAUGCAUUGUGGAUUACUAUUGUAAUCCACAGUUGGGUGUGAGGGAACAGUGAUUUCCUCACACCCUUUAGUUUUAUGUAUAGUAAUUACAAUUAUUAAUCAGCUUAAUAUUUAAAAAAUAAAAUUAGUAAAGACAAUUUUAGGGAAAAACAUAACAAAACAGAAAAAAAACCUUGUGGGUAAAAACACUGUAGCAAUCCACAGUAAUUUGCGAGGAAACUUACAGUGCUUUCUCCACAUAUUGUAAAUGUAAUUUUUAACCAACUCAAUAUUAAAAAAUAAAAUAAAAUAAAAGAUAAUUUCAAAGAAAAUCAUAAAAAAAACAAAAAAAAACCAUUCGAAUAAAUACUGUAGUAAUCAACAAUGUUUUAAAGAAAAAAAAUUACAAAACUUAAUUCUUAAUCAGCUCAAUAUAAAAAAAAUCAACAAAUAUAAUUUUGAAAAAUACAAAAAUAAAAUAUAAAAAUUAUGUGGGAAAAUACUAUAGCAAUCCACAGUAUUUUAAAGGAAAAAAAAUUAUAAAUGAAAAUUUUUAACUAGCUCAAUAUUUAAAAAGUAAAAUCAACAAAGAUAAUCUUGAAAAAAAAAAUGAAAACAAAGGAAAAGUUUGAAAAAAAAAAUGAAAACGUGCAAAAAAAAAUGAAAAAGUGAAAAAAAAAAUAUACUGUAGAUUACUAUUGUAAUUUUCAGUGCAUUGGGUGUGGGGGAACAGUGAUUUCCCCACACCCUUUAGUUUUAUGUAUAUAAAAAAAUAGACAAAUAUAAUUUUAAAAAAUAAAAAAAAUAAAAUAGAAAAAUUAUGUAGAAAAAUACCGUAGCAAUUCAUAGUAUUUAAAAAAAAAUACAAAAUAAAAUUUUUAAUCAGCUCAAUAUUUGAAAAGUAAAAUCAAUAAAAGUAAUUUUGGAAAAAAAAAUUAAAUGAAAAAAAAGAAAAAAGAGGAAAGUUGGAAAAAAAAAGGGAAAGUUUGAAAAAAAAAGAAGAAAAGUUGCUAAAAAAAAAGUAAAAAUAAAAAAGAAAGAAAUGCAUCAUGGAUUAUUUUGUAAUCUACAGUAUAUUAAAUGUGCGGAAACAAUGAUUUCCCGUACCUUUUAAUUAUAUGUAUAAUAAUACAUCAGUCUUUUUUAUUAUUAUUGAUGAAUUCGAUUCAUCAUUUUACAAAUCAUUUGUGUACUAUUUUUCUUAAUUAUUAUUUUAGUCAGAGAGAAUGAAACAUCCCAUCAAUUCACUUGCGCGAGCAAGAUAGAAAAGACACUAUUCUAAAGUAUUGUAAGCGUACAUAAAGAUGGGUCCCUCAAAUUCACCUUCAAAGGAAUAUAUUCAUUUUAGAGAGUAUAUUCAUCUUAAAGAUGCUUGAAAUUCAAGAUAGCAUGCCCUUAAAAUCAAGCCAACCAUUUUCCCACUGGAUUAGAGGCUUCCAAUAUAAUGAACUAAAAGUUAGACAUUAGCUUUGCUUGGUUAUAUUAUAAAGGUACAAAUAGUGAGCAAGCUAAUGUGUUAGUCCAAAAGGCUAGGAAUCUUCAAAUCUAAAUGAAAUGUCAUCUUCCACAUAUGGAUAGAGAGAAGCCAAAAUGCAAAGCAAUUUCAUGGUAAUUAAUUAUUGCCAAGUAUGGUGGGGGGCUGGCCAUUAUGGCCAUACCACCUGCACUUCAAUGUUGACCCAAACCAGCUUGUUUUCCACUUGGUUUACAUGCAUUGGCUUGAUUUGGACGGUUAAUUUGGGACCUCAAUCGACAACUGGUAUUCAAUUAGAUGGACCAAAUCGUAUAGAUGUGAUAGUUCUAUAUAUGUGUAACAUAUAAAUCGUAUGGCUUCCAGAAAGAAAGAAGGAAAAAAAAAAAAACAUUUGAGAUUUUAACUCUUCAUGGAUAUGAACUUGAAGAAACUCUUCAUAGAAACACAAGUCUUUGAGCGUGAGAUUGUUUUUUUGGUGGGAGAGGAAUCUUCCUUUGAUUGUCAAAGACGAAAGCAUUUAUUCCCAUUUGUUAGAUUUCAGUUAAUAGCUUCCAUUUCCCUUUGUUAGAUCUCUCAAGAGUCAAGACUUGCUUUCCAUACGAGGGAACGCCUUUGUUUUAAAAUACUGAUCGAGUGAUUGACUUUGCCACGAGUUGGAUCGACGUUUCAAAUUUUUGGAGUCUAAUUGCUUGUUACUAAAACCCAGUUAACAACAACAAAUCCUGUAUAUUUGGUUUUGAAUAUGUUUGAACAUGGACUGCCUUUUGUUGAUGAUCAUCUUAAUUAUUUACGAGUGAUGAAAUCUUCAAUUCAUAUCGAGACCUGACAAAAAUAAUCUUAUCAGAUGAGAGUGAGUGUGAAAGUUUUUCUCAAAUUUUUAUUUUUUUUUAGUUUUGCUUAUUACAUUGAUUUUUCUUCCAACACUUCCAAUUAUUAAUCUCAGACAUGUAAAUUUUUUACAUAUUGCAGAGAACGAAUCAUUUUAAUAAGACAGCAAAGUUUGAGUCUUUGAAUCAUUGGCAUUGGAAGGGAUGGUAGGAGGGGAAGUUGCUGGUAUCUGUUUCUCUGAUUCUACUCAUUGGGUUGCCCUGCUGGACAACAUUUCUGCUGGUGUCUUUAGAAGACAAACUUAUGCCAAGAAAGAGAGAGAGAGUUUCUCAAGUUGGAAAUGCAGAGUGUUUAACUCAGAGUCCUGUCUUGAACUCUGAGGCUGAGAAACAUCAGUUGGUUUCUUCAAUCUGGUACUACAUAUUCGACUUCCUAUCACUGAAGAAUUUUGGAUGGUUAGAUAUCGGGAGGAAGGUUUAUACUCGGGAGGAUGUAUUACAUAUUCGACUUCCUAUCACUGAAAAGUUCUCUGCGAUGAUUCUGAUAAAGCAGGGUCACGAUGGGGAUGCGUUUGAAGAGGGAUGAUAAUAAGAAAUACAAUUUCUUCUGUGUCCUAGCUGCAUAAUCCUCGUCCAUUCCAUUGAAGAAACAAGCAAUAACAAGGAAUAAGUUCUGAUAAUCAUCAUGAGGAGAGUUGUAACUUUUUGCAAGAACCUUUUGAACUUAACAAUUUGGAAUCACUUCCGUUUCAUGUAAUGCGCUUUCCCAUACUUUUCUACUUUCACUAAAUAAUGAAGAACCAAUAGCACAAAGGGCUAAUGGAAGUCCAUUACAAUGAUGUACUAUUCUCCAAGAUUCCUCCAUAAAAUCUUCAACUGGGUAAGCUUGUCCACAGGCAUGCCAACUCAAAAGAUUAAGUGAUUUUUUGUUAUCUAGAGGUUCAUCUUUGCACUUGACACACUCACCAUCAGCUACAACCAAAGCCUUAUUUCUAGUUCUUACAAUGAUUUACUUCCUUGGCGAAGCCAAUUUCGCGUGCCAACAAUUGCAUUGAAGUGGUCCCAUUUGUCCACAUCAUCAAGAACAAUAAGAUUUCUUCUGCAACAUAACGCAUCCUUAAUAUAAUCCCUUCAUCAACAUCAUGUAUGUCAUCAACAUUGUUUAAGAUAUCUGAAAGAAGUUGCCUCUGUAGUCAAACUACACCAUUGGAUUCUUUUGACUAUUCUCUAACAUUUGAUGGAAAGAUCCUACCUUCAAACUUAUGAAACUGCUGGUUAUAAACACUCUUUGCUAUGGUUGUCUUCCCUACUCCACCAAUCCCAUAGAGUAUAUCAAAGGCAGAACUGUGGGAGCCAUAUUCUUCCAACCAUAAGUUGAUAAGUUUUACUAGAGGAUCUCUUCCGAUGAAAUGAAGGGGGAUAUGAAAUAUUUUACGAUCCAAUUUCUUUGAGACCUUGUCGACAAUAGAUUAGACAAGUUGUGCCUCAUGCCUGCAUCAAAAAGAAAAAUACAAUAUAUGAUAAUUAGUAAGUCUCUCUAUAAAGUUUCAAAAUCUUAGUAUCAUGUAGAAAUCGUUGCAUUUUUCAAGUAAUUAAGAACGAAAAUAUCAGAAAAUGAGAAAAAAAAGUUUCUUUUAUUUUUGUUUUCUUUAAUGUUCACUAAGUUGGGAGUGGUACGGUUUUUUCUAAAUUGAAGAUGUCGCACGUGUGCGGCGUCACGAUGAAAACAUCCACCCUCAAGAUUUUAUCUAAUGUUGCAAAAUAUAGGGAGACAAGGAAUUCUUAUCUUUUAUUAGUGGAAAAAUGAAGUGGGAGUCGCCACCUAAUACUUUGGUCACAAGAAAUUAUCGUAUUUUCUAAUUGUUGGUCCGUCUAUGGUUUAAGAAAAGUCCUCUUCGGUAAAAAGAUCCUUAUCUUAUCGGGUAAAAUCUAACCGCUUUAACGUCAAAAAAAGAAUUUAAUAUCCUGAAUACGUCUUACGUAUAAGAUCAUUACCCUAGAUAUUAAAAGAAAACAAAAUAUUUUUUUGAAGUUUUUUUGAAAUAUUGGCCUAGUUCUCGCGAUUUUAAUAAACUGGUUAUUAAAGCCAAAAUACAUGCUAAUACAUAUUUUUGAAGUUUUCUUUGUUAUAUGAAAGUACAAUAUGAUUUUUUUUUAGAGACUUGGUCGUAUGCAUGAAAACAAAAUAUUUUUUAUGUUUUGCCGAAGACCGGGUAUUUUAAUAUCGAAUUUGUAUCUUUACAGUAUAAAAAUACAAACCGAUAUUAAUUAAAAUGCAAUAAUUUUUUUUACAGAAAAUCACAAAUUUUUUGAAAAAAAAAAAUUUAUUAUUUUUUUAAGACUGGAACUAGCCCGAGUUAAGCCAAUGACCCGGCUGCUUGCUCAACGGCUGUUCAAGUGAAUUAUAAUUCACUUGCUCAGUGAACUUGAACAGUAAAGAGCAACAAUUACUGUUCAAGUGAAUAUUCACUUGAACAGUAAAAGAUAACAAUGAAAAAAAGAAAAUGCAUGCAGUGACAGAAACAAUGCAAUGUGAAGAGAAAUGUGUGAGGCUUACCUAGUAUCUGAAAUAGAUGAAGACGAUUGCAAUGAAACUGCUGCGCAGGAUCAGAGGUGACUGAUUUUGGGGACGAUGAAGACGAUCAACGCUGGGUCUUUUUUCUUCUGGUUUUUCUCUGCCUUUUUUGAAAUGAUGAAGCCCCUGUGUUCUUCUCCUCUCCGUCUUUUCCCUUCCCUUUUCUUUCUGUUUUUCUCCCCUGUAUUCCCCUCUCAGCGGUUCUUGGCGUGGCUGCUGGGAUGAAGAAGAUGAUGAGCUGACGAUGGCGUUGGCAGUGCUGGUGCAGUUGUGAUGGAGAAUGGCAGUGGCUAGUUUCUGGAAGAAUUGAAGAUGAUGAAAAUUCUGGUCUUGCGUUCUUUUUAUUAUUCUGGACUUUCUCUCUGGGUUUCUUCCUUUGCUUCUGUUUCUUUGGUUUUAUUCCCUUGCCUCUGGGACAGCAACGAUGGAGGCUGGUUGCUACUGGUUUUUUUUCUUGCUUCUGUUCGUCUGCUCCUCUGUUAUCGUCUCCCUAUGCUUCCCAGUUCUCCUUCCUGUCUCCCUCUUUUCUUUUUAUUCUCCCUGUUCUCUUUCUCUCCCUCUCUGUCUCGUCUUUCUCCUUUCCGUUAUCCCCCUCUCUCUGUUUUUCUCCUGUCCGUUGUCCUCUCUGGUCUUUUUUUUUUUCUGUCUUUCCUCCUCCUUUUCAUCGUCUUUCUCUGGCUUUUAUUGUUGGUGGGAGAAACCACUGGUGGUGGCUUUGAAACACUCAGAGGGGAUAAAACACAAAGUUUUAUUACAAAAUCCGAAGCUUAUAAUUAACACAAAAACUCACAAUACACACCCUCUCUUUCUCUCUUUCUCUUUCUAGUGUUUCUCUCAAUUAUCUCCACACAAUUUAACAGAAGUUGGGCACUCUAUUUAUACACGAAAUCAGAAUACAAAAAUUCAAACUUUCCAAGUGUGAAGGUGGGUGGCUGGUGGCUGGCGGUUGCGGCUGGUCGGUGGGUGGUUGCCUUCCUUGACCUUCUGGAUGUUGAGUUUAAUAUUCAACAAAUCUCCCCUUUAAACUCAAUCGAGGGAUAUCAUGCCAAGCAUGAACUUUAAUCAAAUAAAUUCUUCUCCUUUUAAUGGCUUGGUGAAGAUGUCCGCAACUUGAUCAUUUGUGUUGCAAGAUAUCAGUUGGACUUCUUCAUUCUUCAUGUGUUCCCGGAUAAAGUGAUGACGUGUAUCAAUAUGUUUGCUCCUUUCAUGAUACACUGGAUUCUUUGCCAAUGCGAUUGCUGAUCGAUUGUCAAUAUAAAUCUCCGUAGGAUUUUCUUGAGGAAAUCCCAAAAACUUCAGCAUAUUCCUUAACCAUAUUGAGUGACAUACGGCUGAGUUGGCAGCAACAUACUCAGCUUCACAGCUUGAUAAUGUUACAAUCGAUUGCUUCUUGGAUGACCAUGUGAAAGAUGUGUCUCCCAUGAAAAAGACAAACCCUGUUGUGCUUUUCCUUUCAUCCAAAUCUCUACCCCAAUCACUAUCCGAGUAGCCUACAAGAUUAAAGUCUUUACUUGAGGUAUAAAACAUACCUUCAUUCAUUGUGCCUUUGAUGUAGCGAAGAAUUCUCUUGGCUGCAUUCAAAUGAGACUGGUCUGGUGUCUCCAUGUAUCUGCUGAUGAGUCCGACUCCGUAGAGUAUAUCCGGUCUGGUACAUGUCAAGUACCUUAAGCUUCCUACUAAGCUUUUGAAGUAAGUUGGAUCAACAUUUCCAACCUUACUCUUCCUCAAUUCCACUCCAUUCUCAACUGGAGUUGAUACCGGAUUGCAGCUUUCCAUCUUGAACCUUUCAAGAAUAUCUUUGGCGUAACCGCUUUGGGAUACAAAAAUCCCUUCUUCCUUCUGCGUUACUUCUAAGCCAAGAAAAUGUGACAUUAGACCAAUGUCAGUCAUUUCAAACUCCUGUACCAUGCUUCGUUUGAAGUCUUCAAACAUGGUAGGGUUGUUGCCGGUGAAUAUCAAAUCAUCAACAUACAGGCACGCAAAUAAGAUGCUGCCAUCUGCUCCUUUCUUCACAUAUAUUGCGUGUUCAUAUGGACAUUUUUCAAAUCCAUUAUCUUGAAAAUACCUGUCAAUUCUGGUAUUCCAAGCACGCGGAGCUUGCUUCAAACCAUAGAGAGCCUUCUUCAACUUGUAUACUUUGCCUUCAUUUUCAGCAUCAAUGUAUCCAAGUGGUUGUUCAACAUAGAUCUCUUCUUCUAGGAAGCCAUUCAGAAAUGCUGACUUCACAUCGAGUUGAUAGAUCUUCCAUCUAUGUUGUGCAGCUAGUGAGAUCAUCAGUCUGAUUGUCUCUAGCCGGGCUACUGGAGCAAAUACUUCUCCAUAGUCAAUGCCUUCUCUCUGUUUGUAGCCUUUAGCCACUAAUCUGGCUUUGUAUCUUUGCACUUCUCCUUUGGCGUUCUUCUUCGUCUUGUAGACCCAUUUGACACCUAUUGCUUUCUUGUUUUCUGGUAGAUAAGUCAGCUUCCAGGUAUCAUUCUUCUCAAUGGCAUGUAUUUCUUCAUCCAUUGCUUCUAUCCAUUUCUCUUCUGUGAUAGCUUCAUCGAAGCUUAGUGGGUCACUAUCUGCAAAGAAACAAAACAGAGUUGUAUCUUCCAUGACCUGAGUGGUAUCGUACAACUCUUCAAGAUUCCUCAUCCUUCUUGGUCCUUCUGAUGAGGAUGUGUGGUGGUGUUGAUGAUGAUGCUCCUGGUGUGUUCCUCCUGUUGAAUACAGGGAAACUGUGCCGGACUUUGUGGUUCAGCUGCUGGCACAAUCGGUUCUUCGACAAGUACUGUUGGUACUUCUUCACCUUCAAGGAUCAAAUCAGUGUUGAUCCAUUGACUGCUUCUUGAUCACCAUUCCAUGCCCAAGAUUUAUCUUCUUCAAAGAUAACAUCUCUACUCGUAAUCACCUUCUUCGUGAUGGGAUUAUACAGCCUGUAUCCCAUCCUUCUUUCACCAUAUCCGACAAAGAUGCAUUUCUCGCUCUUAUCAUCGAGCUUUCUCCUUCUUGCAUCUGGGAUCUUUGCAUAUGCCACACAACCAAAGACUCGUAGAUGAGUAACACUUGGUUUGUGACCACUCCAUGCUUCUUCUGGAUGACUCCUUGCAAACUUCUGGUUGGGCAGCGAUUCAGUAGAUACACUGCACAUGAUACAGCUUCAGCCCAGUAUUGCUUGGGCAACUUCUUUGCUUUGAGCAAACUUCUGGCCAUGUCAAGAAUCGUGCGAUUCUUCCUUUCUGCUACACCAUUCAGCUGUGGUGUAUAAGCUGGUGUCGUCUGAUGUCUGAUGCCUUGUUGUGUACAAUAGGCUUCAAAGUCAUUUGCUGUAUAUUCUCCACCUUGAUCAGAUCACGGUUCUGAUCGUAACCAGUUUGCUUCUCCACAAUUGCUUUAAAAUCUUUAAAACAAUUGAAUACUUCUGACUUCCUCUUCAGAAAGUAUAUCCACGUCUUUCUACUAAAAUCAUCAGUAAAAGUGAGGAAGUACCUAUUUUGUCCAGUCGACAUAGGCGUAAUUGGGCCACACACAUCUGUGUGUACUAACUCCAGUGGCCUCUUUGCUCUCCAGUUGACUUCUUUGGCAAAACUGGAUCUGUGAUGUUUGCUGAGGACACAACUCUCACAGACUUCAUCUGGAUGAUCAAUGUGAGGCAAACCUUUGACCAUCUUCUUGCUUGCUAGCAUCUUCAGACUUGUGAAAUUCAGAUGUCCAAGCCUCAGGUGCCAAAGCCAUUCUUCACUGUUGGUGAUGGCACUCAAACACCUUUGCAUCAUACUGGAUGUUCAAAGGAAACAUCUUGUUCUUGGACAUUUUCACAUAGGCCAUUAAUCUCCAAUUGUUGUCUCUAAUUGUCAGAUGACAAUUCUUCGAGUAAAAAGUAUAUCCUCUCUCCAAAAGUUGACCUAAGCUGAUCAGGUUCUGCUUUAUGGCUGGGACAUAAUACACAUCGGCGAUGUAGCUGGAAUCGUCAUUCUUCAACUUGACUGGGAUGUUGCCUUUACCUUUGAAUGGAACCUUUGUGGUAUCUCCAAAAGUAACUAGACCUUGCUUGGUCUCAUCUAGAUCACCAAAUAACUCUCGGUAGCCGCACAUGUGAUUGCUGGCUCCAGUAUCUAGAUACCAUAUAUCUCCUUGUUUCUCAUCAAGUCCUUGUUGGACAAGAAAUGCAGCUUCUUCUCUGUCAUCCUUCUCUACAUAGUUGGCUUGCUCACGUAUCUCCAACGGAGCUUUCCUGCAUUCAGUGCUAUAGUGCCCAAAUUGAUUGCAGCUAUAACAUUUGAUAUUCCUCUUGUCACGGUUAUUGUAACCGCCUCCUCUUCCUCUAGGAGUGAAUGCUUGUUGGCCUCGGCCUCCUCUGGUGGUGUUUCUACCACCUCUUCCUCUGAAGCUUGUAUUCCAAGAUCUUCCUCUUGUUGAACCUCUUCCUUGGAAUCUCUAGAAUCCUCCUCUGG